UUUUUUUUUUUUUUUUGGUUACAAAAAUCGAGCAACCCUAUUUAUAACAUUUGCCAAAUUAAAAAAAAAAAACAAAAACAGAGAGAGUUCUGGUAAACAUUAUGCAACAUAAACGAAGCUCGCUUGUAACUGUAGAAAAUGAAUUUGUUUAAUCAGUGUAUAAAAGAUCUAACUGUUUACAUAAGAAACAAACAUGCAAUAUGCACAAUACUUGAAAACAAAAAUUGCAGGAUAAUGCAUUUAUCUGAAUUACCUAGCACAGUAAAUUGUCUACCGCGCAACCGAAUCUAAGAAUUAUUAUGUAACAUAAUAAUCACUGCCUGAGAUAUCGCACUGGCGGUAAACUUAUUCAAUCAUGCAUGUCUGAAUUAAAGUUAAUCUGAUCCUAAGAUGUGUACCGUCCAGACAAGUUUCUUAAUCAUGCUCCAUUCAUUGAUUGCGGCCGAGCAUAAUCCAUAGCUGACAGGCUGAUACAACAUCCUGAAACAGACACCUUAUGAAUGAUGGAUGAUGGGCUCAUGAGAUUUUGGUAAAUUCUUUCGUGAUCAGUUGUUUUAAUUGGUUGAAACUCGUAUGUAAAAAGAGUCAACAUUGUCAAUCCGUUUGUUGUAUGCGCUCUACCUAAUUGUACCCGUUUUGACUUCUACCCACCACUUGUUUAUCUUCCCUCCUUACCUUUUGCUUUCUUGGUUGGACUUUUUGUAUCUUGAUUGGGAAUUUUGAUGGUUUGUGUAAUAAUCAACUAAACUUCACAGGCUGUGCCUUGAAAGAUAAAUCAAUAAACAGUCAUCUUCUAUGAUGAAGGCGGAUGGGGAAUAAUAGUGGAGUAGUAUGGAGAAUGAGCAAAAGAAGACGAUAACGAAGGGCAAGAAGACAUGGAGUAAAUGCACCAAUCCAUACGGGUCCUUGCAGCCGCUUAUGUACAAAUUCAUUUAAGAAGACAAGGGAAGAUUUGAGCUCGAAGACCAGAGGCGGUGAUAUUCUUGCAGUUUUUUUUGUCUUCUUGGAGCUUCAACACUAGAUUAGGCACUAAAUAAAACCCUCAUCAACAACUUAUUAGUUAUUAAACAGUUCUAUCUUUCAAAAGUAACAUCUUAAUUAUUAGAUGAAGUUCCUCAAUACUUAUUCCCUUCCUCUUAUCUUUCUUUUUCCAAAUCAAAGAGAAAAUUCCUUCAAAGAAUGAAACCGUCUGCCAAGAAUACGGCAGUACAAAUUGCGGCUUCUUUUGUUUUUAACAGCCUGAAAUUGAAUGUGGGGGGAGUCAAGUGGACUGUGAAAUAAUAUGAUACAUCUUGUGGUUCAAAAUACACUAGAAAAUCCAAUAUUACGUGCACGAAAUGUAAACUAGGCCUACUUGAAGUUUUGUAUGGAAGCAUCGCGCACCUUCAAUAUCGAUCAAAGCUGUACAUAGAUGAAGAAUUGCAUUUUGUGUUUUUUUUUUUUAAAUGCUAAAAAUUAUACUAUAUUCCAAAUAAUUCAUAAUUACUUGGCCUACUUAAUUAGAUAGUGAUGGGGACUCUGGUAAUUGCCAUAGAAGAAACUUCGCGUCCGUUCUGGAGCUUUUGUAGAAAAAUUUAUCCUAACAAUUUAAUAGAUAUAAGAUAAAAUUUACAAUUUUGGUUGAGAAAAAAUGACAAACCAAACAAGGUGGAGCAAAAAAAAAAAAAAAAAAAAAGAAAAGGAGUAAUUAGGUCUCCUUCUAGGCUUGCCUUGUAUGUGUGGAGGACACGGAGAAGUCUGGCUUUUUCCAAGUGGUAUUCCAUUCAUUUAUGUGCUAGCGGCGUAUAAUCAAUGGAUUCUUCCUGACUUGAUGUGGUCAGAGUUCAUUGAUGCCCUGGGAGGGAGACCAAUUCUUCCGACUAACCUAAUCGAAAUUGUAAUCUCGUGUUACAUAUUCCAAUUCUGAUCUCUAGGUUAUUUUAUAUUAUGUGUCUUAAUCAUCACUUGCCGAAAUUAAAUCUUUUCCCUAUAGGACUUGCUUACAUCCGCGUUCGUUAAUGGUAGAAGAAAAUGAAAUGACUGAACCAAGUCAAAACUGAAAUGGUAAAAUGAUAAUGACCAGCAGUUUGAUUUGGUUCAAAUUUUUUUUCAAGUACGCCAUGCAUCAAUUCGUUUAUAAUUUCCGCUGCCAACAAAUCCAUUCUUCAGCUUGCUCCAUUAUAGAGAUCAAAUUCCAAGUCUAUGGUGUGCAUCAUUUGCACUUUACAUUUAGUUGUCAAGAUUCCAACUAAAGCAUCUUAAACGACAUACAGAAAUGGUAGGAGGCGAGAUAAUAAUAAUAUCACUUAAUCAGUCAGGUACACGACUGACCUUACCGUUGUAUACUACUCCUUCUCUGUUCCAAUUAUUUGAUCAUGUUUUAGAAAUUUAACUUUUUAAAAAUAGUGAUUUGAUUAUUAUAUUUAUAUUUUUCUUUUCAAUCUUAUCCCACAAAUUCAAAAUUGGGAUUUGAAUAGUAAUAUGCAUAUGACUAAAAAAAAAGAUUAUAUCUGACAACAUGACAAAUAUUUUGGAACAUUUCAAAAUAUAAAGUAUAACACUUUUAAUGGAACUGAGGAAAUACGCAGCAAUAUUUUUGGGGGGGGGGGGGUCCUUGGGCAACAUAUACGGGAGUAUGAUAUGAUUAGGCGAGGGUGAAUUAAAAAUACAUGGAGUUUUGGGAACCAAUAAUUGAGAUAGCAUUUGGUGGUAAUACGUAAUCGCAUCAGUCGGACGAUUUGUCUUGUUGGAACUUGGAAACGCGCAUUCCUUGUUUUCCUCUGAAGCAGCCGAAGAAAUACUUUAAUCGACGUCCCAUAGACCACACGCAAUGCCGAGCCCAUAGCCUACCCGCCCACCGAUUGCUGCCCUUUUUUAUUUAUUUAUUUUUAUUUUUAAAAAAAAGGGGUUGGCAAUUCCAGAAACUUUUAGAGGUGGACUCAUUGUAUGUAUUAUUGUUUACUCUUUCCUCUUCAUUUUCUUGGCUGCAGGACGGCUGCAGUCCGGAUUUAGAGGUUCUUUUGCUCAAGUCUCUGUCUAGUAGGAUUUAGAGGCUAUAUACAUAUAUAUAUAUAUAUAUAUAUAUAUGUAAUAUUAUAAAAAAAAAAAAAAGUUUAUCGCUACAAUAACGCUACUUCCUUCGGGUUAUAUCUAAAUUGGAAAAUGCUUCAUUCAUCCGUGGUUAAAAUUUUGCAAGUGACGAUGGAUGAAAGUAGAAUACUUUGUGGAUGUAGCAAGCAAGAACGUCUCCAAUGUGGUGAAAUCUCUACUGUAUAUAUUGAUCUGGACGACUUCUUUGUGAAACUUAAAAUUAAUGAGCCGGGAUCAAACCUUUCCAUCAUCUGACCAUAACAGAAGGGGCAAAGAUGCAUAAAGAUCCAAGCACAGAAAUUAAUAUGAACAGAAAGAAAGGAAUUUGAAUGGGAAUUGAUUUCGGAAUCUUCGGAAACCUUUUUGCUCUUUGUUUUUAUCCACUGACACAAGCAUUCAAGCAUGUUAACUUGGACUUCGCCGCUCAGCUGACAUGCUUGAUUUGACAUGCAGUUCAAAUCUGUUUAACGUGCGGAGACUAACAAGAAAGUUUCUGCUUACUUGAUUUAGCCAUUGUGGCUUUAUACGCAGGAACAGGAAGGAGAGUUUCUUUAAAGCUCUUUCGAGAAAUAGCCAACAUCUCUUGGGCCGGUUGCCGGUUGGUCACCGAGACCUCUUUUAAGGUUGAGAAUUCGAUACUUGUUUCUCGUCAAUUACUAUGUGUGACUUCUCCCUCUCCUUCCACUUAGAUUAGACUGUAAUAGAUUAUGCAAAUUGUUAUCGUUGCUGGCAAAAAAUAUAUAUAUAUUUUCUUUAAAACUCUUUGAAAUAACAGGAGAUUAUUUGUCCAAAAACAUUUACUUACAUCACCAUUAUAAUUUCUAAUACACCUUUUUAUCUUACAUAUAUCACAUCAUAAAAAGUGUUACAGUAAAAAUAUCUCAAAUAAUUUACGAUCCAAACACACUCAGUGUAUUUAUCUGAUUUAGUGGUUCAUCCCUAAUUUUCAUACGAGUUUUUUUAUACUCUCCCCUCUCUUGUAGUUGCAGGAGCAUGAUAUAUUGUCGUUGUUGCGACGAAAACAAAAAACAAAAAAAAAAAAACAAAAAGUGCCGUCUACUGUGGGAAACAUGAUCUACAACUCGAGGUCAAUGCUCACGCCACUGCUCAAAGAUUUCUAGAAGCCCAUUAGUGCUUCAUUAUUGGAGCUCUACGUUUUCCAUUCCAUAACACACACAAAGAAAUGUCAAAAAGAUCAUGCUAUGGGAAUCUACACAUUCCAAUCCAUCAUGCAUCAGUCGAUUUCAAAGAAUAUAAAAUUUUUAACCAUCUGGUUCUGGAAGGGAAACAAAAAUGAAGCGUACCAUUUGAUUACGUGGAGACAAGAGUAAUGAAAAGUGACAGUUAAUUAUGAUUAUCCAAUCACAGAUAUUUGCUUCUUUAUUGCGGGAGGAGGAGAGGGGUGUUGGGCAUGAAAAGAGUAUUUUAUCAGUUCUGAUUGCUGAGCUCGAAUGCCUCCCCAAAUAUGUUGUCAUGUUUUUUUUUGUCGUACUUUUAUAUACAGAAACGUGAACAGCCGAAAAAAAAUGCUUCUCCUGCACAAAGUAUCUAAUAUUUCUUCUGAUCCAAACGAAAUAUUUUACUUGCUUUCUCCAAUUCACCCUAAAACACGAAAAUUUUCAGCUUCAAGUGCCUACGGUAUCUUCCCAUAAAUUAUUCCACACGAAAAAAAUAAAUACUUGUCGACAUAUUUCCUUAUUAUAUGUCUUUCACUUAUGUAUUCCAAAACAUGCUUACCCAUAUAUCCAUUGGAAUUUUGUCAUGCUGCUACUAAAUGACUAGGGCUGUCAACGGGCCGGGUCCGGGCCGGAAUUCAUUAUUCCGGACCCGGACCCGGACCCGAAUUACUAUGCCGGACCCGGACCCGACCCGUUUACCCGACGGGUCUUUUAUUCUAUGUUCCGGAUCUGGAUCCGGCGGGUCCCGGAUCCGGAUCCGGGUCUACCCGAACAAAUUUAGCAAAAUUUAUAAUUUCUAAUAAAAAUGAAAAAAAAUAUAUUUGUAAACUAAUUUUUAACUAAUGCAAAGAAAAAACCAAAUAAGAAAAGAAAUCAAAUUAACUUUAUUAAAAUACAUCACUCUAAUCAAAUUAUAUUGAUAAAUAUAUAUAUUUAAAAUUAUUAAUUCAUUUAUAUCCGGAUCCGGGUCUAAUACGGGCCGGAAUACUAUAUUCCGUAUCCGACCCGUUUUUUUGUUUGACAAAACGGAUCCGGAUCCGGAUCCGGAAAACGGAAUUAAAUCCCUACCCAUACCCGCAAUAAUUUCACGGAUCCGGUCCGGAUCCGGGUCUAGACCCGACCCGUUGACAGGCCUAUAAAUGACCUUAGGCUUCACCCAACCCCCCACCCCCCCCCCAAAAAAGAAAAGAAAAGAAAAGAAAAGAAAAACUGGAGAUGACUGGUAUGAUAGAUUAAUCAUCAUACUUUAAACUUGUAAAAUUGUGAAACAAGUGCUGAGUAUUAAUCAUCAUACUUUAAACUUGUUAAAAUUUAGUAGUUGGGCCUCGACCUUCUUAAUUGGAUCAACACCACAACUCUUGAGUUGCUCAUCAGUGACCCGAUGUUAGUAUAAUAAAGCACAUUGAAAGUCAAACAUGAAUUUGUUUCGUCUGCCUCUCGAAACUCCCCCAGAGAAACCCAGAAAAUGACCGGCUUAUUUGGCAAAUAAGUUUUUGACCAAAUUUAUCUGCAAUAAGUUUUUUAACAACUUUAGUUACAGUAACAUCAAAAAAAUUUUCAAAAUUUUUAAACCAUACACUUCAAAAUAUUCAAAAAUUUAUACACUUCAAAAAUUUUUCUUACAACUUCUACAAUAAACUACAUUAAAGUUUUAAAUAAAUAUCCAAAACACUCAUUUGUCAAAUGGGGCUGAGACUCAGCAAUAAUUGUACGUAUUAAUUUUUCUUAAAAUAAAAGAAAGCAAUAGCGUUGAGGACCCAGCCUAAACAGAGAUUAACUCUGGAUGGGUUGAGGAGCAGUGCUGGAAGGAUGACUUAAGGAGCAGCCCAAAAGAAAUGAGAGGCGUGAACGAAACGCCUAUGAAUAGGCCUGUCAACGGGCCGGGUCUGGGGCGGAAUUCAUUAUUCGGGACUUGGACCCGGCAUAUCAAAUUGAAUCCGGAUUUGACCCCGUUUAUCCGACGGGUCUUCUACUCUAUGUUCCGGAUCUAGAUCUGACGGAUUUCGGAUCAGGGUCGGGGUCUACCCGAAAAAAUUUAUGAAAAAAAUAUAUUUGUACACUAAUUUCUAACUAACACAAAAAAAAAACCAAAUAAGAAAAUAAAUCAAAUUGACUUUACUCAAAUACAUCACCCUAAUCAAAUUAUAUUGAUAAAUAUACAUAUUUUAAAUUAUUAAUCUAUUUAUAUUCGGAUCCGGGUCUAAUACGGAUCGGAAUACUAUAUUCCGUAUCCGAUCCAUUUUUUUGUUUGACAAAACGAAUCCGGAUUCAGAUCCGAGUAACGGAAUUAAAUUCUUACCCAUACCCGCAAUAAUUUCACGAAUCCGGCUCGGACCCGGCCCGUUGACAGGCCUACCUAUGAAGAGAGCAUGGAGCCAUGGAUCUCAAGCGACAACAUGGGAGCUGCAGAGAGCAUUUCAUGCUUUGGGCUUAUUGAAUUCAAAUUCCCAAUUGUAAACUCUUUCCUUUUUUUUCCCCCCAAAAACUCUUUUAUUCUUUCUUCCGUAGUUCUACAAUGUAACGAAGCAUAUAAAACUUCCACCUUUUUCUAACCUGUCACAUUUCUCCGUGCACAUUGAUUAUGAUUUUCUCCUUAUUUUUUCCAUUAGGAACAUUUGAUUUAUGAUUAAACGUUUAGUUUUUUCUUUUGUUGAUCCGAUGACUCAAAGGGACUGAUAGUUAGCUGUUAAAUAUCAUACUCUACGUCUUUUUUGUUUAAGAUACUAUGUUAAGGGUGCAAAACAAAUCAAAUCAAUCCCGAGCAUGCUCGAAAUCAAGCUCAACUUGGCAGUGUUUGAAUUAUCGAACUCGACUCGAUCAAGCAUUAAUUUAUAUGAUCGAGUUCAAUGCUUUAUGAGGUGCUUAAGAUUGACUCGUUUGGUAUCGAGCAAGCUCGAGUCUAUAUAUGUAAUUUAUACUAUACAAUUUUAUAAUACAUAUCGUUCAAUAAGACUUGUCGAACUCUCAAACUUAACAUAUCAAUGCUCGAUACUCGAUUUGUUUGAUUAAUUGAGUAGUUUGAAAUCGACUCGAAUGCAAUCAAAAUCAACGAUUUAGUUGCUUGCAAGUUACUCGGUUGGUUUUGUAGUCCUAUUGUAGGUCGCUUAUAAUGAGUUUACAUCUUUGUUACUUGUGAGAGGAUGAACUUCAAUCUCUCCAUAGCUCAUGAUGCUUGUCAAUGCAAUUUUAACUUAUUUAUUCAAGAAGAUACUUUUCUCUGCUUCAUUUUGAUUCUUUAAUCUCAAAGCAAAUGUUGCAAUGGAGAAUUACAAUUAUAAUUGAUUUAUUUCACUAAUAAGAAAUUUAAUAUUUAAAACUUUUAAUUGAGUAAAAUCUUGGAUUAAGGAGCACAAAAAUUAAGAAGAGUUGUGUCAAAUGUACAAUUUGUGAGUUGUGAUUCGUGUGCAUAGUAUCAAUUACGGCCUUCAUUUAAAAAUAAAGGAAAAAAGGUUUUGACUAGUAAUAAAUUACAGAUUACUGAAACAAAAAACCUAACAACAAAAGAUAUUCUUGCAGUUUUCAAAAAAAAAAAAAAAAAAGAAAGAACGAUCGAAAAGAUAGAAAGACACGAAGACAUCGCGCACACUUUACCACGAGAAAGACACGAAGACAUCGCACACCGUUUACCACGACAAGUCUUAUUCGAAUUUUCGGACCGUUGGGCCCUUUUGAGACAGGAUAACGGUUACUGAAAUGUUUAAAAAAAUGAAACUCCCACUUUUUCUCUUUCCAUCGGACCACCGCAGUAGCCUUCAAAUCUUUCUUACGCAUAAAACCACAAAUAACUGGCGAGAAAGAAGAAGACACCUGAACCGCAUCAAUGGGCUGUGUCUCUUCCAAGUUGUUCAGGAAAGAUCUCAGUCAAGAAAAUUUGGUUCAGAAAGCAGAUAAUAUCUCCAACCAUGUGGUCUCUCUCACGUCGAGUACUUAUGGUGUCCUUAGACUUGACAAAGAAAACCAACAGCAACAGCAGCAGGGGGAACAUCUUCAUCUUCAACAACAAUUGCAAUCCAUCAAAAAAUGUGGGAUUGAUUUGAAGAAGCCUUCACCUCCUCGACAAGAGCCUGAAGUUAUCAAUGCGUGGGAGAUAAUGCAAGGUCUGGAAGAAGAAGUACCUCUAUCGAAUUUGAUCCCGGACAAGAAAAGCCCAAAAUCGCGACUUCUUCUACGUGGGUUCGGGGAUUUGGAUGCGCAAGAAGCCCACUAAAGUUCUUGAAUCAAAUGGCAUCCCCUAGAAAACUGAAGAAAUUUGGAGGAAAAGAGAACGCUACCCCGAAAUCGGUCUUCAAAGCAUGUAAUAUGCAGGGGAGUUCACAAAAAGCGUCUCCAAUGCUGAGAGUUCCAAGAAAAGACAGUCCUAAUGAUGCCAAAUGUGAGAGUCUGAGGAUUGAUUCAGGGGUAGUUUUGUCGCGGAGGAGGAGUUUAGGCCCGCUGUUUGAUCCAGAACUCGUGGCAUCAUUCGAGAAAGAGUUGUCCGAAGAGAAAGAGCAAAUCAAGAAGAUGGUUUCAGGAACGCCCACCGCGGUAAAGAAGAGGAAUUCCCAAGACUCGGUGUCUAUUCUCGAAAAUUUCGAGGAAAAAUGCCCCCCGGGUGGUGAAAAAGCGGUGGUCCUGUAUACGACCACGCUGAGGGGUAUAAGGAAGACAUUUGAGGAUUGCAACACAGCCAGAUCAGUGAUCGAGUCGCAUCAGGUUCAGAUGUUUGAGCGCGAUGUGUCGAUGCAUUCAGGAUUCAAGGAUGAGUUGAGGGGAUUAAUGGGCACAAAAGAAGUGAAAGUUCCCUUGGUUUUUGUCAAGGGAAGGUUGAUUGGUGGGGCUGACGAGAUAGUGAAGUUGGAGGAAGAUGGUAAGUUAGGUACUCUCUUCAGCGGGAUCCCGAAGGCAGUUGCUAUCUGCAAUGGGUGCGCAGGGGUCAGGUUUGUAAUGUGCAUAGAUUGCAAUGGUAGUUGCAAAGUGUUGGAUGAGAAAGGGAAGAAGACUGUCAAGUGCAAGGAGUGCAAUGAGAAUGGGUUGAUUCAAUGUCCAUUCUGCUCUUGAGAUUAACUUAAAAACUUCAUUCCAGUGUUAUUGCUAACCUCCAAUAUUUGUUUUUAAUGAUUUGUGCUAAUUAUCGUUGGUUCUCCCAUGUGUGGAGAAUGAGGUUUGUUGGAGUUCUUGGUCCUCUUGGACGUGGAAAGAACUCUAACGGCCUCUGUCAGUAGUUGGGGGAUCCUUAAAAAAGUGUGUUUGCUUUUUGGACAGCACCCCACCAAUCCCCCCCCACCCCCCACCCCCCCAAAAAAAUUUUUAGAGUAGUAUGUAAUUUUGUCUUGGUUGCAAAUUGCAAUGCUUGUACCCUGGAUUUUCAGGGCCUGGGAUUUAAAAUUAUGUGUAUUGAUUUGGAUCAAUUUGUGUGCAAAUGGCAAUGAAAUUUCCUCCUAUGUGUUGUGUUUUUUAAUUAGUCGACUGAGCUCGCAUUUCCAGUCGAGUUGACUGCGCCUCACCCUUGCAGACUGUCGGUCGAUCCCGCGAUUUGCUCAAUAGGGACAGUACAAGGUUUGGGGUAGACCAAACCAGAUCUGCCGUCUAUUUCAGGGCUUUGACCAUCAUGAUUUAAACCUGGCUGGGCAAGAAGGUUUUCGUAACUUUCUUCUACCCUUAUUCUGCUCCUUUGCAAGUGGUGAUCUGUCCAGUUUUGUGUUGGGGCUAGCUUGUACAUGUUCUCUGCUAUUUUAAGAUUUCUGGAUAACUUAGUGGCUCGAUAAAUCAUUUUCUUCCCCUCAAUUCCUUUUUCUGUCAUUUUCUUUCCUACUAAUUGCUAAAUAACUUCACAACUUCUGAGAAAGAAAAACUCUUUUUUGUUUCCCUGAUUUGGCAUUUCUUCCCGUCUUGCAUGGUUGCAAAAUAAUGGGCUUUUCUUGAAUUUGAUUUCGGCUUGAAGUUCGCCGUGAUAGAUUCCCCUUCGUAGACGAAUUGGGCAGUUGAUUGGAGUUCAUGGCUGCAUGGACAGAAAGGAGGGCCUCUAGUAUUACACUCAAAGCAGCCCGUUGGCCCAACCACAAUGAAAGGUUUUCAGGGGCCCAGAAUGUUUAAACCAUCUUCUUGGCAGGUAGCCCAAGGUUUUGAAAGUAUAAUUCUCUGACGUGUGAGUAUAACGUAGCCCGCUGUUGGGGAAAAUGGCAGGAUUCCAGCACUGAACGUUUUGCAUUAAAGAGUGAUUAGAGAAAUGAGAAAUGUCCGACAAAGUCUUGGUUAUUAUUUGCCUCUUAACAACCGAUCCAGCGGUUCAACAGGAUGGAGCCUCAAAAUUCCAACGCAGAGCCGCGAUUUUGAACGUAAUUUGGCUAACAAGCUUAGCGAUGAACUAUUGAACUCCAUCUUUGGGCUAGUGUUCCCAUACGGACGGACAUUAAAGGACCGGCCCUACCGGUUUAACUGGUCAUGACACUAACAAACUUAGAAAAUCAUUUGAACCAACCAAAUUCAAUCAAGAACCAAUUGACUUGUCAAAAUUGAUAUUAAAAAAAAAAAGGAAUUUUUGAAUAUGUUUUGUAAUAACCAACGGCCAUUUGGACUGUUAGUCACCUGGAAGGUCAAGAGUUCAAAUCUUAUCUCUCGUCGAUGUGCCAUUAUACAUGGAUUCUUCUAAAUUCAUACAGGUGUGCAGUAUACUCAUCUAGUCCAAUGAUGGUUCAGUCCCGUCGAUUUCUCUAAACCCUAUUGGACCUCUCCUCCCGUAAGGUAGGUUAGAAUAAGAGUAUGAAUAGAAGUAGAUUAGGCUAAUUAUUACCGUCUGAUAAAAAAAAUUAUAUAUAUAUUUGUAAUAAAUAAAAAAUAAAGAAAAGAAAUACAUUUAAAGAGGAUUCAAUUAGUUGAACCAGUUUGAACCACAAAACUAGAAACUCAUUCGAUUCACUUAACAAUUUGGAUUUAAAAAUAUUACUUACUAAGAAUUGAAUUCAUAAUAUUUAUGGACAAGUCUUGCUUCUUUUAGAUUUUACAUUUCAUAACAUUUAUGGGCAUACUUUUUUAAUGAGAGGGAGGAGGUAUUUCAAAUAAUGCGUUGUCCAGACGUAAACAACUGUGGAAAAAGAUAAUUUGAGGUGGUAAAACACUACUCAUGUAGUCGUCGUAUAUAAAAAGUGGCGAGUCUUAAGAAGUGUCUACACUGCUGGCUUCACUCAGUAAAUUCCCCUUCUCAACGCCCCAUCCUCCCCCGCGACAUUUCUACAAAAGUGCCCCCGGGGGGCCAACCGGCUGCCCGCCUUCGAUUCCCUUCUCCUCCAGAAACCAGAUCAUUUCUGCCCCUUACUCCUGAUGGCUGGAAGAAAAAGGAGGAAGUUGAAAAAGUGAGUUUGAUCCUUUUCAGUAAAUCAUUUUUUCGGUUGAAUUUUGAGUGUGAUUAUUUGAUUUAUGCAAAUGUGGUGUUUAUCUCGCCUAGGAUGGAUGUCAAACCCGCCAAUUCUUUUAGAUGUGGUUAAGUACUUAUCAUUUUAUUCAACUCCUGGUAUCUCAUUGCUGUCGAUAGUACAACCUUUUUUUUUUUAAUUUUAUAACAUUUUUUUAAAGGUUUACUCGAGAGACCGAAUGAAUCCUUUUAUAUCUCGUGUUACGCAUCAGAACGUUUACGUCUCUUGGGAAAUUGAAGAUUGCUUGAUGCAUGUGUUUGUGUUUGUGGGGCUAUAUCCUAGCAAUUUUGCAUUUAGAAAAUGAGGAUGAGGUUCCUCUGAAACUACUAUGGAAAAUGGAGAUGAUUAGAGAUCACAACGUAAUAAUUUGUGGUUAAUGCGCUUUGGCUACCCAAACAUAUAUUAAUGUGCAUUAUCACUUAAUCAAAUGGAUUGAUUGAUGCAGUCAGGGACUUCUGGUCAUUGAUGGUCACAUAGAAUUUGGCUUCAUUUAAACUUUUGCAGGCUUGUCAAUUUUUUUUUUCAGGGGAUUGAUCAAAUCACAUGUCAUGCAGUUUCAAACUCCAGCAUAGUUGUUGUAGGGUUAUAUUUGGAUUAUAGCGUAAGAUAUAUGACAUUCCUACGUUGUAUCCAUUGUGGACAUCUAUUAGUGACUAUGGCUUUGUUGGCCUUCUCUUCUUGCUUGUUGUCUUUGCGAUUAUUCUUUGAGAACUACUGGCGUUAACUUUUCUCAAUUUCAUACUUGUAGAUUACCUGAAGAAAGUAGAGAUAAAGAGAAUAAGCCAGAUGCACAGCAGACCUGGCUGGAGCUUCCAGAGGACCUUUUGGAAAUGGUUAUCUCACGGUUAACCUUGAGCGAAAAUAUCCGUGCUUCUGUUGUUUGUAAACAGUGGCUUGCUGUUGCCAUCUCAGUGCGAGUGGUGAAUAAACCUCCCUGGUUGAUGUUCUUUCCAAAAUAUGGGGACUUGGUUGAGUUCUAUGAUCCUUUGCACCGUACAUUCUAUACUCUUGAGUUGCCUGAGUUAGUUGGCUCCAAGGUUUGUUAUUCGAAAGAUGGUUGGUUGCUUAUAUACAAGACUAGUACCAAUCGUCUGAUGUUUGUUAACCCCUAUACAAGGGAGUUGAUUAAGUUGCCUAAACUUGAAUUGACAUACCAAAUAGUUGCCUUCUCUGCUGCUCCAACGUCUUCUUGCUGUAUUGUGUUUACUAUUAAGCACAUCAGCCCCACCAUUAUUGCCAUUAGUACCUGCCAUCCUAGAGCAGCUGAAUGGACAACCAUCAAUUACAGAAACCGUUUGCCAUUUGUUAGCAGCAUUUGGAAUAAGCUGGUCUUCUGUGGUGGAAAGUUUUAUUGUCUGAGCCUCACUGGUUGGUUGGGGGUUUAUGAUCCAGAAAAGCGCAGUUGGGUUGUUCAUGUACUGCCCCCUCCCAAAUGCCCUGAGAAUUUUUUCGUAAAAAAUUGGUGGAAGAGCAAAUUUAUGGCUGAGCACAAUGGGGAAAUUUUUGUUAUAUACACUUCAUCUGAAGUUAACCCUGUGAUGUAUAAAUUAGACCAAGCAAUUAAAGAAUGGGUGGAGGUGAAAACUUUAGGUGGUCUAUCUAUCUUUGCAAGUUUCUUGUCCUCCCAUGCAAAGAUAGAUCUUCUUGGGACUAUGAGAAAUAGUGUUUACUUUUCUAAGGUUCGCUUUUAUGGAAAGCAUUGCGUGUCAUACUCCCUUGACGAUAAUAGAUACUACCCCAGAAAGCAGUUCUAUGAUUGGGGGGAAGAAGAUCCUUUUGGAAGCAUUUGGAUUGAACCACCUGAAGAUCAUUCAAGCUUUGCUUAGAAAGGCCAGUGGAAUAGGUAACUGUUUUUCUUGUUAUAGAAGUUUUGACACCUUUUUUAUCCCCCUUGACCAUUUUACUUAAUCUGUGUGGGGUGCCAUUGAUGAUACUUGUUAUACAGGUGACUUAUGCAUGGUUUCUUAAUCUUAGCAAACUCCUAGUAUUCUUUCUGAUACAGUAUACAUAAUCACAAAGCUUGAGUCUCUUCAAGUAGUAUUAUUGCAAGUCGAAUAGUAUUAGGGACUUGGGCACUGUUGCUUAUGAUGGUCUAUCUUGCUUCUGUUCUGCAAAUUAUGAAUGUAUCUGGUUUUCCUCUUUUGUUGAGUUGCUGGUUCAUUUGAGUUAGAUCUAUCACAUCUUAUUUGUGAUAGAAAUUGUAUACAUGGUUGGUUGUUCAAGUCUUUCAGUGAUCUCUUUUGAAAAAUUGUGCGGCAGGCGCGAACUUUCAUUUAAAAAAAAAAAAAAAAAACCAAAGUUAGUUUUUGAGUAAAUGAGAGCAAAUGGCCGUUGCCCCCAUUGGUAACUUGAAGCAAAUUGUGGACUGCUGCUGGUGAAAACUUGGAGGACCUGGGAAGUAGGAAGUGGAACUUAUCUUAGCAAAAGAAAGCCUAUUCUGCCUUUGUUUUUCAUUAAUUUGGUUGACUUUGGAUGGUGCAGUAUUCAAUUUAGGUAAGCAACCACAAUGCUGUGGGCAGAAACAUGAAAGUAACAAGUGUUUCUGGUAAUGCCAAUUAUAGAGCAGGACUACCUUUUCCCCUUAGACCACCAUUAAGCCACUACUGGGAAUCAGAGGAGCAAAUUCCGGUCCUCCGUGAACCAACUAGUUGGACAUGAGUUUGUUUUUAGGGUCUUAACUCCUCCCCCACCUCUUUGAGUAUCUGUUUUCUCCCCUUUCCCGAAGAAUGAUUGCACUUGCUUAUAAAAGAAGUUUGCUUUAACAUCAGAAUCUUCGAGUAUUAUGGAAAUAUGAUUGGACUUUGAUUCUGAUAUGCGAACUACAUAUCUUUGUUACUCUCCAGUAAUUAGUGGUGUGAUAUAGAUAAUCACGGUCUAGUGAUGCUCUGUACGCAUUAUAAACACCUGAAUAGCUUGAUUAUCUCAAUUUGAUAACUGCAGUUGAAAAUUUCAAAUUCCUUUUGUUUUACCUUGUCAGGAGCUCACUCUUUCAUUUACAUGAAAGCUCAAGCAAGAUAAUGCUGCUAAUAAGUAUCGUGUAGUUUGAGAUUGUUGAAUUGAAGGGCAGUGCAGCACCUCUUUUCUCUUUGUCAAUUAAUAACGCAUGAAGAUAUGAGUUGUACUUUGGGUUUAUUCUAGGAUGCAGAAUUUUGAGGUGUUUAGUUUAUUUAAUAGAUCAAUAAACUACAAUGAGGAGUGUAGAUUUUUCUUUAGACACUUGAGUGAUUUUAUUUAUAUUUUUACUGGCAAAAAUGCAUUUUGCAAUUAUUGAAUUUUUUUUUUUAUGGUGUUUCUCCCCUUUACUUAUAAUAACUUCACGGGCAUGUCAUGAACAUGAGAAUUUAGCAUCUCCGGAAGUUGUAUUUGAAGCAUGUAUCUUUGGUAUUGCUGAGUAAUCGUGCACUAAUGCAAAUUUGUAAUUGAUUAAUCAGGCCAUAUAGCAUUCAUAACUAAAAUCUCACCUUGCGAGGUCUUUGGGUAGCGAACCCCAUUGAGCCAUUAAGGAUGAGCUUUUAGCCGCCUGAAGAGUGAAGAGGAGUCCCCGACAGAACGAAACCCGGGCUUUGCAGUGAAUCAUCCUUGGCCCUUCUGUCAGUACUGCUAGCUAUGCCUUUCCAUGUUUCCAGCAUCUCACUCUCUGCCCUGAUCAAGUAUUAAUUUAGAAGCGGGCCAAAAUACCCCUUGAUUUAAAAACCCAUGAUAUCCGAAUUGAUUCGAAAAAUAUGAUGCUUGUUUCACAGUAUUUGAUCAUAUCAAAAAAAAAAAAAGGGGCUGGGUACUCGCUUAUACACGAGACGGGCUAGGACCAGAGGAUUCAAAACUCACAGGAACUCAUCCACCCGGCAUCCGCAUAUAUACAUGCUGGUCAAGCUAGCCAAAUGGUGCGCCGGAUGGAUGCCCAAGCCGCGCCCACCUCAAAUUCAAUUGCACGUACUUAAUUUUAUGCCAACGCCAAACCAUGAUUGAUCAUAUGUACGAUUUCGGUUCCAAAUGGAUGCCCGUUCUUGACAUAGAUCACAUCUUUAAUUUGAAAGGAAAAUGGGAAACAUAACUUUAUGCUCGUGGUAGGUUAGCUUUUCAAUGUAAACAUUCCCUAAAAUCUGUAGAACUUAGCCAGGCAGCUUCCUCUAAUCGUUCACAAGUGAAACUGCAAAUUAAAAGGCCCGGAAAAAUACGAAAUUUUGAAAAAGAAGAUGCAACUUGCCAUUUCAGUUGUUUUCCCUAUAUGUCACAUUGAUGUACAAACUAUCUCCAUGUUCAAAUGUCAGACAAAUACAUUUCAAAUGAGCAUCCCACGCUCGAGACCACCCUAGAGAAGUCAAACAGUGAAUUCAUUCCUCAGUAAGGGUUGUAUCGGCUACGUCCACGGCCUCUAUCACCACCACGUCUUCCACCACUUGAACCUGCUGUUGUCCCACUGCGGCCACCUCGUUGCAAUGGUUGUGGUGUCUGAGGUUGUGGCUGUUGCCUAGAGAGAGAGAGAGAGAGAGUGAGAGAAAGAUUCAUUUCGAACUUUCUGCAUUAAAGCACCUUGUGAUAGAAAGCUUGGAAUUCAAACUGCCGAACAAUUGUUCAACUAAAGAAUUUCAGCCUAUUCUCUGAACCUUAGCAAAUACAGUUCCAAAAUUGGAACCAUGAUCAAGCCUUUUACAGUAGUCAAAAAGAAUAGGAUGUGGCAAGGCUUAGCACAUGACAGAAAAACUAGUACCAAAACCGCGUAAAAUCACCAUGGCAAACCAAACUAAUUUCACAGGAUUCAGAGCUAGAUCAGUAGAUGACAAUAAUACAAGCACACAUAUCAGCAGAAAAUCCAUUAUGUGGAACUGCAUCAACCGUCUUCAAACUUUACAUGUAUGAUAAUCCUACUCAACUAAUACUUCUAUUCUUCCAUGUUAUGUACAUCUUCAAAACAACAUUUAGGAAUCCUCUGGAACUCAGGUCUAGAAUUUUUGCCAUGAAGUACUAAAGCUUCUUAGGAACCACUACGAUAAGAAAACAGGGAUUUAGACUUCCAAGUUCAAAUAACACUGAAGCGUUUACUUACAGGACAUAUCCAAUCCUUCCAUCAGGCAAAAGCAUCGGUAUCAUUGCCAAGCCAGGAGGCGCAGCUCCCGUUCCAUAGACCAGCGGCUGCAAAAAAAAAAAAAAAAAGGAAAGGAUCUCAACGAACAGAAUCAUUGCCUGCUAUACUCAUGCUUAACCCAGGUUUUGAUAGAGAAUAUUGUCUAAGAACUCUUGCACCAUAAUCUCGUCUCAGUAAUUACAUGCAAUUUGUAUUCAGGAAAACAGAAAAUUGUGAAUUAACUUUUCAAGCAAGGCACUAUUCCCCAAAUAGUUAUAGAUCAUAUUGAGGAAAUAAAAUGUAAGUUAGUAACUAACAUGCAAUAGAAUACUAUUUAUUUGGCCCAAAAACUGUAUCAAGUCAAAACAAAAGCUGUAUUAUGCAAUUCAUGGAGUAUGUAAUCUCAUAAUCAUUGUCAGUGCAGAAGUGAUUAACAGACAAACAAGCAAAGGCACACUACUUGACCAAAAAAAAAAAAAAAAGAGAAGCGCAUGCUCACAUACAUGAGAUGCAGUAGCUUGUCUACCAAACAUGCAUAAUUAAUUUUUCUUGCCCAACCAGCAUAUAAUUUAAGUAUGUUCUUCUAUGUGGAUUUUCAAAAAGAGGUAAAAAAAAAAAGGAAAAAUUUAUUGCGCACUCAGUAAUAAAAUAAGCCUGCUCUUGAACUGAAAAAUGGAAAUAAGCAUGCCAAGCUAAUAUAGCACACAAUGAGAACAAGAUAGAGCACAAAGACCCAACUGAACCCAAAAGAAAAAGUGGAGAUAGUUAACUAUGUGAAAAAGAAAACCUUUUGACCUACAAAUUGAAUAUUAUCUUACUUGGGUUAAACCUCCACUAACAGCACCAUAGUUGGCACCAACCAAGCCAUAUCCAAGAGGAGAGGGAUAGGAAGGAAGAACAGCUGCCUUCUGUGAAUUUGGUUGUCCAGAAGACUUUUGAUCUGCCUGUGGCUUAGCAAGCGAGCACUCCAAAACUUGACCUAUCAAGUAAGUCCAGUAUUAACCAACCAAAAUCAACUUGACAAGAAGUUAUCAUAAAGAAAGCAUUGUACAUGAAGUAAUUUUCAAACAACAGUUUACCAUCUAUCACAUAUUUCUCUGUAUUCUUCAAAGCCUUCAUUGCACUAGAUCUUUCAGCAAAGUGAACAAAGCCAAAUCUGCUAUUUUCAUGCCCUGGUUUUGCAGGAGGAAGAACCACCUUUGUGAUCUUCCCAUGAUGCUCAAACGACUUUCUCAGCUGAUCCUGGGUAACAUUUUUGGGUAGAUUCUUCACAUAGACGGCUUUAACCUACAAAUGAGGAAAAAAGUUACCACAUAAGUGUAGUUAACAAAACUGAACAAACUCCCGAAAUGCAAUUUUAAGUAACACAGUAGACGUUUUUUCACAAAAAUAUGGUGCAGUCUCUAGAUGCAGGAUAUAGCAGGUGUUUUUCUUCUACGCAUUGAAGAAAGAUGUGCCUAUCUAGCAUAAUGAGCAACUUCAAUAAGUUGAAAUCCAUAAAAAUCACUUAAAAUAGAAAAUCCCCUUUUAGAGGAUGUAAUAUAUGUAUCCAACUAAAUCAGACUACCACCUAUACAUUUAUUAAGCAAAUACAUUCAACAGAUAUCAAUGGAAAGGCAGGGUCAAAGAAGUUCAAAAGAGCAUUAAUAUCUGAUGCAUAUUGAAGGCUUCUUAUGAAACAGAGUAAGAAAUUACCCAUAGCAGGAUGAACUUUAUAAUCAUUCUUGGGGCUAGAAGAUUCAUUGCCAAUGAAAGUAUCAGUAAAAUUGUUCAAUUUAAGAGAAUUACCAGAGAGGAAGCCGAAGAUUCUACAUUCUUUGGGUCUGCCCAGCUCACUGUUGGGGCAUUUUCAUCAAGUUUAAAGCUCGAAUCAGACAUCUUUUCUCUGGAAUAUUCAGCACAUGCAUGAUUGUAAUACUCAAUGAAUGCAAAACCACGAUUUCGGCUAGAGUUUUGUGGGUCCUGUAACAGCACCUCUUAAUUGAUCAAAACAUACACAACCCAACAGAAAAGUUUAUCUAUCCAUGCCUUGCUGGGAGAAAGGGGUGUUCCAUGGAGGGAGGAGACUAAUAGAUAACAAGCAAAAGAAAUGGGUAUCACUCUUUUUAAGGAAGAAAGGGUAUGCUAACUCAAUAAAAACAGUAUGACAAAAAAUGCAGUGGGACGACCCAGACCUUUAGUAGCUCCACAGUAAUAACGCCAGGCCCAACCUUGGUUACAACCUUUUUCAUAUCUUCCUCCCCCCAGCUUCUUGGAACGUUACCAAUGAACAACCGGUGCUUUUCCUGAGAUGUAGAACACUUCAGCCUUCUUCCCUAAAAAUACAGAUUCCAUUGUAAACCAGAAAAGUCAGAAAAUGUUGAAUGGUACGGAUGUGAAAAAAAUGGAAAUCAUAGCAGGAUAAUUCAGAAGAGAAGAAGUUCUCUUGGCAAAGGAAAGGGUUUCAAGACUGCCCUACUUACCUUAAGUUCAGUAUUAUUAAGAGACUUGAUGGCCUCAGAUGCCAUUUCCUUCGUCCUGAAAGUGACAAAUGCAUAUCCUUUGUUCUCAUUUGAGCCCUUUCCUUUCAUUAUCCUGAUCUGCAAUUGGCAUGCAAAACCUCUGCAGGAUAAGAAGUCAAAUAGACAUUGCACACAAGAAGGACGGAAAUGAUUUACCUCUGUAACUUCCCCUAUGGAUCCGCAAAAACUCCCAAGGUCAUCUUCAGAAACAUCUUGAGUAAAGCCACCGAGGUAAACCUCUGAACCAUGAGGAGGAAGUGCAAGAAGUUGAUUGUGUUUUUUUUUCACUUCCUCUUCUAUCUCAGCAUCUUUCAUGUUCUCAUCAUUUAUGACAUUCUGCUCACCACCACCACUGACAUCAUGUUCCUCUGUUUCUUCUUCCUCUUCUUCUACUUCCUCCUCUUCCUCAUCCUCAUCUACCUCUUCCACUUCUUCCUCUUCUACUUCUACCUCUUCAUCUUCUUCCACUUCUACUUCUUCUUCUACUUCUUCUUCUACUUCUUCAUACUCAACUUCCUCCUCCACUGCCUCGUCAUUAUCAUUUUCUCCAUCCGUGUUCACAUGAUCUUCGAACUCAACAAGCUUGUUAGUUUCGCCUGGUUUAGUAGCUGCAGCACUUGACCUCGUCCUUGGCAUCUUAUAGAUCUUAAAAGAUAAGCUUGUGCUGGAACUCUGAUGGGAGCAAAGAAGCCAGAAACAUUUGCAAAAGAAAGAAGACAAGCACGGAUAGAUGGAAACAAAAUGAGAGGCCAAAAGAAGCCUCUGAGUAAGAUUGUUAAUUGAAUUUCUGCCAUUAGGGGUGUGGCUACAAGGAGUUUCAAUUCGAACAAUUUUCAAUUAAGGGCUGAUAGAAUACAGUAAUACAAAAAAAGGCAGGUAAAGGAGAGUUCCAGAGAUGAUCGACAGGAAGAUGAUACUCAACAGGUAGAGAAAAAUGAAUACAUGAAUGAAUGAAGACGUUCGAUCCCCGAAUAGUCAUGUCCAGAUUUUAAUCAAAACCAUCAAUAGGACCAAUGUAAUUCACAAAAGAUUAGAAAGGAAAAAGAGAAAUCAACAAAGGGAUGUGAAAGAGAUCUACAAGCAAUAAAAUUGGAGAAAUAUCUCCAAAUGGGGAAAAGAAUGCUAAACUAGUUUGAUCAUCAAGAAACCGUCAAUCCCCAUUUAAAAAAUCAAUCCCACAACCAGAAUUCAUCCCCAGAACAACAGUAAGAUUCCUGCAGUAAAUGUACAUUCCGUAAAUGUACAAUCAAAAACAAACUAAAAUGCAUGUUGCAGAACCAUUUCUCUACAUAUAAACCAUCAAAGAAAAGGGCAUGAAUUGUUACAGACAUAGCAAAUCUAUAAAUCUGUCUCGUCUGCUAAUAGAGAAAGUACCCAAUCCUGCAGCUAUCAUGCUUUUCCCUAGGUUUUCUGAACAAUAUAUGAAAAUUUGCGGGUCAUGGAUCUCGUCAAAUAACUUCUUUCGACUAAUUAGCUUGAGACAUUUCAGACGAUAUAGUGAAUGCAGUAAAUUCUUUGAGGUAGGCAAAAAGGCAAAUAUGAAAAAACAUACAAGGACUUUCUUCUCUAAUGUACUAGAAUCCAUUCAGCUCAGAAACCCACAUUAUAAAGUUAAACGUCCACCCAAUUUAUCGCCAGACCCCCCGCACCCACACCCACCCCAAAAAAAGAAACACCCCAACCCCAAAAAAAAAAAAAAGCGGAAAAUAUCAAAAUGGCGAAAACGAGGGAUUGCAUAAAAGAAAGACAGGAAAAAAAAAUUACAGGUAGAGAUCAAUCUAACAAUAAAAGAAAAGGCAUAUACAAAUGCAGAAAAAUAUUGAAAAAUGCGUCUGUGAAUUUAGGCGUGUAGUUGAAGAAAUUACCAACGAAUCUUGAAUCUUUCGAACUCUCUAAAGAAAUUCCCGGAUUUUGGAUUUGGAAUUAUCUUGGCAACCCAGUAAAUUGAAUGGCUCCCCUGCGGUGAUGAUAAUUAGGGUUUUGACAAUUUGGGAUAUUUUCUUCCCCUCGAAGUCUUAAGGUUAAGGAGCAAUGGUACAUGACCCGUUUGCCCUCGAGAUUGGGAUACUUGAAUUUUUAUUCGAGAGAGCUUUUCCCUGAUGCGCCCAUCAUUUUGCCCCAGCUUUCUCGCGCCACAAACCGGCACUUGGACAGCCCUGACCAGUUGGGGUAUCGAUCCUAAAUCACGACGGUGAUUGGCUUUAGGCCCAUUUGAUUUGAGUGGCGCAAACAAUCCUAAAAGCCCAUCCAUCACUUUUCUGAGUCAGAUCAGAUUUGCCUAAAGAAAACGAAGACUAAUGAAUGGUUUUUUUUUUUUUUUUUGACAAAUCAGAGGCUUACCAGGUUAAAAUUUUGGGCCUUAAUACUUUUCAGCUUUAUUAUUCUUGAUAUAGUUGAUUGGUAAAUUUUAUGAAUCCCAUUUAAUUGGUACGUAGAGAGAGAGAGAAAUAAUUUUAUAAGUCGGAGUCUACUCUAACAAUCAUCUGCGGGGAUAUUUUUUCAAGAUCUGGUUCAUUCUUGGCUGAUGCAUGUUUGAGGUGUUGACGGAGUAGAGUACCAUAUUUGGUGAAAAUGAGGGGGCUAAAGCAAAAUAAUAAACACACGUUCAUAUCCAUAUGUUGCCAUAGAACACCGUUGUUUUAAAGAACACCGUUGUUCUUCUACCUCACUUUGAACCAAAGCAUACUUCCACAUUUUAACCAGAGCUGUUCAAUUUAGCUAAUUUUCAAUUACUAAUGAAACUUCGUUUACAAUUUCUGAACAGUUUGAUCAAGAACCAUCUUCAUUUCAGCAGCCUUGCACAAGCUAACACAAAAUUUGCCGCCUAGAAUAUCCUGACCGUACUCCUUUAGGAAGUGUAGUUUGUUUGCAUGGAGGCACUCAAAUAGGAACAAUCGCAAUGCCAGUUCCUUACACACUAUAUCCUUCAAAUGAUUACAUCAGAAUUUAAACGAAGCAUGACCGCAGAACAAUGAACGAGUUCCCCAAUAGAGAUCUAGCUUUUAGAUUUAGGAAAGUAAAUCCAUCAGGAAGCACAAAUAAAACUAAAGCACUAGCAACUGCAGGGUGUAAAAAGUGAGCAUCCACCAAAAAUAACGCAAAACGAAGGUACUCAAAGGAUGGCCCUGGAUUCCAGCCUGAGCUCUCAAAUAAAUAAGUGUUUAUACUCCCCGUUUGCAAGCUGACAAAUAUGGUUGUAGCCUUGGGUAUCUGGAAAAACCAAAAAGAUAAGCAAAUCAGAAACAUGAAAGCAAAAGCUUUGAAGAAGCCUUCACCUCCUCGACAAGAGCCUGAAGUUAUCAAUGCGUGGGAGAUAAUGCAAGGUCUGGAAGAAGAAGUACCUCUAUCGAAUUUGAUCCCGGACAAGAAAAGCCCAAAAUCGCGACUUCUUCUACGUGGGUUCGGGGAUUUGGAUGCAAGAAGCCCACUAAAGUUCUUGAAUCAAAUGGCAUCCCCUAGAAAACUGAAGAAAUUUGGAGGAAAAGAGAACGCUACCCCGAAAACGGUCUUCAAAGCAUGUAAUUUGCAGGGGAGUUCACAAAAAGCGUCUCCAAUGCUGAGAGUUCCAAGAAAAGACAGUCCUAAUGAUGCCAAAUGUGAGAGUCUGAGGAUUGAUUCAGGGGUAGUUUUGUCGCGGAGGAGGAGUUUAGGCCCGCUGUUUGAUCCAGAACUCGUGGCAUCAUUCGAGAAAGAGUUGUCCGAAGAGAAAGAGCAAAUCAAGAAGAUGGUUUCAGGAACGCCCACCGCGGUAAAGAAGAGGAAUUCCCAAGACUCGGUGUCUAUUCUCGAAAAUUUCGAGGAAAAAUGCCCCCCGGGUGGUGAAAAAGCGGUGGUCCUGUAUACGACCACGCUGAGGGGUAUAAGGAAGACAUUUGAGGAUUGCAACACAGCCAGAUCAGUGAUCGAGUCGCAUCAGGUUCAGAUGUUUGAGCGCGAUGUGUCGAUGCAUUCAGGAUUCAAGGAUGAGUUGAGGGGAUUAAUGGGCACAAAAGAAGUGAAAGUUCCCUUGGUUUUUGUCAAGGGAAGGUUGAUUGGUGGGGCUGACGAGAUAGUGAAGUUGGAGGAAGAUGGUAAGUUAGGUACUCUCUUCAGCGGGAUCCCGAAGGCAGUUGCUAUCUGCAAUGGGUGCGCAGGGGUCAGGUUUGUAAUGUGCAUAGAUUGCAAUGGUAGUUGCAAAGUGUUGGAUGAGAAAGGGAAGAAGACUGUCAAGUGCAAGGAGUGCAAUGAGAAUGGGUUGAUUCAAUGUCCAUUCUGCUCUUGAGAUUAACUUAAAAACUUCAUUCCAGUGUUAUUGCUAACCUCCAAUAUUUGUUUUUAAUGAUUUGUGCUAAUUAUCGUUGGUUCUCCCAUGUGUGGAGAAUGAGGUUUGUUGGAGUUCUUGGUCCUCUUGGACGUGGAAAGAACUCUAACGGCCUCUGUCAGUAGUUGGGGGAUCCUUAAAAAAGUGUGUUUGCUUUUUGGACAGCACCCCACCAAUCCCCCCCACCCCACCCCCCCAAAAAAAUUUUUAGAGUAGUAUGUAAUUUUGUCUUGGUUGCAAAUUGCAAUGCUUGUACCCUGGAUUUUCAGGGCCUGGGAUUUAAAAUUAUGUGUAUUGAUUUGGAUCAAUUUGUGUGCAAAUGGCAAUGAAAUUUCCUCCUAUGUGUUGUGUUUUUUAAUUAGUCGACUGAGCUCGCAUUUCCAGUCGAGUUGACUGCGCCUCACCCUUGCAGACUGUCGGUCGAUCCCGCGAUUUGCUCAAUAGGGACAGUACAAGGUUUGGGGUAGACCAAACCAGAUCUGCCGUCUAUUUCAGGGCUUUGACCAUCAUGAUUUAAACCUGGCUGGGCAAGAAGGUUUUCGUAACUUUCUUCUACCCUUAUUCUGCUCCUUUGCAAGUGGUGAUCUGUCCAGUUUUGUGUUGGGGCUAGCUUGUACAUGUUCUCUGCUAUUUUAAGAUUUCUGGAUAACUUAGUGGCUCGAUAAAUCAUUUUCUUCCCCUCAAUUCCUUUUUCUGUCAUUUUCUUUCCUACUAAUUGCUAAAUAACUUCACAACUUCUGAGAAAGAAAAACUCUUUUUUGUUUCCCUGAUUUGGCAUUUCUUCCCGUCUUGCAUGGUUGCAAAAUAAUGGGCUUUUCUUGAAUUUGAUUUCGGCUUGAAGUUCGCCGUGAUAGAUUCCCCUUCGUAGACGAAUUGGGCAGUUGAUUGGAGUUCAUGGCUGCAUGGACAGAAAGGAGGGCCUCUAGUAUUACACUCAAAGCAGCCCGUUGGCCCAACCACAAUGAAAGGUUUUCAGGGGCCCAGAAUGUUUAAACCAUCUUCUUGGCAGGUAGCCCAAGGUUUUGAAAGUAUAAUUCUCUGACGUGUGAGUAUAACGUAGCCCGCUGUUGGGGAAAAUGGCAGGAUUCCAGCACUGAACGUUUUGCAUUAAAGAGUGAUUAGAGAAAUGAGAAAUGUCCGACAAAGUCUUGGUUAUUAUUUGCCUCUUAACAACCGAUCCAGCGGUUCAACAGGAUGGAGCCUCAAAAUUCCAACGCAGAGCCGCGAUUUUGAACGUAAUUUGGCUAACAAGCUUAGCGAUGAACUAUUGAACUCCAUCUUUGGGCUAGUGUUCCCAUACGGACGGACAUUAAAGGACCGGCCCUACCGGUUUAACUGGUCAUGACACUAACAAACUUAGAAAAUCAUUUGAACCAACCAAAUUCAAUCAAGAACCAAUUGACUUGUCAAAAUUGAUAUUAAAAAAAAAAAGGAAUUUUUGAAUAUGUUUUGUAAUAACCAACGGCCAUUUGGACUGUUAGUCACCUGGAAGGUCAAGAGUUCAAAUCUUAUCUCUCGUCGAUGUGCCAUUAUACAUGGAUUCUUCUAAAUUCAUACAGGUGUGCAGUAUACUCAUCUAGUCCAAUGAUGGUUCAGUCCCGUCGAUUUCUCUAAACCCUAUUGGACCUCUCCUCCCGUAAGGUAGGUUAGAAUAAGAGUAUGAAUAGAAGUAGAUUAGGCUAAUUAUUACCGUCUGAUAAAAAAAUUAUAUAUAUAUUUGUAAUAAAUAAAAAAUAAAAAAGAAAUACAUUUAAAGAGGAUUCAAUUAGUUGAACCAGUUUGAACCACAAAACUAGAAACUCAUUCGAUUCACUUAACAAUUUGGAUUUAAAAAUAUUACUUACUAAGAAUUGAAUUCAUAAUAUUUAUGGACAAGUCUUGCUUCUUUUAGAUUUUACAUUUCAUAACAUUUAUGGGCAUACUUUUUUAAUGAGAGGGAGGAGGUAUUUCAAAUAAUGCGUUGUCCAGACGUAAACAACUGUGGAAAAAGAUAAUUUGAGGUGGUAAAACACUACUCAUGUAGUCGUCGUAUAAAAAGUGGCGAGUCUUAAGAAGUGUCUACACUGCUGGCUUCACUCAGUAAAUUCCCCUUCUCAACGCCCCAUCCUCCCCCGCGACAUUUCUACAAAAGUGCCCCCGGGGGGCCAACCGGCUGCCCGCCUUCGAUUCCCUUCUCCUCCAGAAACCAGAUCAUUUCUGCCCCUUACUCCUGAUGGCUGGAAGAAAAAGGAGGAAGUUGAAAAAGUGAGUUUGAUCCUUUUCAGUAAAUCAUUUUUUCGGUUGAAUUUUGAGUGUGAUUAUUUGAUUUAUGCAAAUGUGGUGUUUAUCUCGCCUAGGAUGGAUGAAUUCACAGAAAGGAUUUUUGCCAUAUUCGAGCGUGUUUCCUCUGAUAAUUUUGGGGGGGGGGAGGCGGGGGUUUAGUUGGAGGAAUUGGGUGUCUUUGGUGGGUUCUGAGUAUGUAAUACCUGUGUCAAACCCGCCAAUUCUUUUAGAUGUGGUUAAGUACUUAUCAUUUUAUUCAACUCCUGGUAUCUCAUUGCUGUCGAUAGUACAACCUUUUUUUUUAUAACAUUUUUUUAAAGGUUUACUCGAGAGACCGAAUGAAUCCUUUUAUAUCUCGUGUUACGCAUCAGAACGUUUACGUCUCUUGGGAAAUUGAAGAUUGCUUGAUGCAUGUGUUUGUGUUUGUGGGGCUAUAUCCUAGCAAUUUUGCAUUUAGAAAAUGAGGAUGAGGUUCCUCUGAAACUACUAUGGAAAAUGGAGAUGAUUAGAGAUCACAACGUAAUAAUUUGUGGUUAAUGCGCUUUGGCUACCCAAACAUAUAUUAAUGCGCAUUAUCACUUAAUCAAAUGGAUUGAUUGAUGCAGUCAGGGACUUCUGGUCAUUGAUGGUCACAUAGAAUUUGGCUUCAUUUAAACUUUUGCAGGCUUGUCAAUUUUUUUUUUCAGGGGAUUGAUCAAAUCACAUGUCAUGCAGUUUCAAACUCCAGCAUAGUUGUUGUAGGGUUAUAUUUGGAUUAUAGCGUAAGAUAUAUGACAUUCCUACGUUGUAUCCAUUGUGGACAUCUAUUAGUGACUAUGGCUUUGUUGGCCUUCUCUUCUUGCUUGUUGUCUUUGCGAUUAUUCUUUGAGAACUACUGGCGUUAACUUUUCUCAAUUUCAUACUUGUAGAUUACCUGAAGAAAGUAGAGAUAAAGAGAAUAAGCCAGAUGCACAGCAGACCUGGCUGGAGCUUCCAGAGGACCUUUUGGAAAUGGUUAUCUCACGGUUAACCUUGAGCGAAAAUAUCCGUGCUUCUGUUGUUUGUAAACAGUGGCUUGCUGUUGCCAUCUCAGUGCGAGUGGUGAAUAAACCUCCCUGGUUGAUGUUCUUUCCAAAAUAUGGGGACUUGGUUGAGUUCUAUGAUCCUUUGCACCGUACAUUCUAUACUCUUGAGUUGCCUGAGUUAGUUGGCUCCAAGGUUUGUUAUUCGAAAGAUGGUUGGUUGCUUAUAUACAAGACUAGUACCAAUCGUCUGAUGUUUGUUAACCCCUAUACAAGGGAGUUGAUUAAGUUGCCUAAACUUGAAUUGACAUACCAAAUAGUUGCCUUCUCUGCUGCUCCAACGUCUUCUUGCUGUAUUGUGUUUACUAUUAAGCACAUCAGCCCCACCAUUAUUGCCAUUAGUACCUGCCAUCCUAGAGCAGCUGAAUGGACAACCAUCAAUUACAGAAACCGUUUGCCAUUUGUUAGCAGCAUUUGGAAUAAGCUGGUCUUCUGUGGUGGAAAGUUUUAUUGUCUGAGCCUCACUGGUUGGUUGGGGGUUUAUGAUCCAGAAAAGCGCAGUUGGGUUGUUCAUGUACUGCCCCCUCCCAAAUGCCCUGAGAAUUUUUUCGUAAAAAAUUGGUGGAAGAGCAAAUUUAUGGCUGAGCACAAUGGGGAAAUUUUUGUUAUAUACACUUCAUCUGAAGUUAACCCUGUGAUGUAUAAAUUAGACCAAGCAAUUAAAGAAUGGGUGGAGGUGAAAACUUUAGGUGGUCUAUCUAUCUUUGCAAGUUUCUUGUCCUCCCAUGCAAAGAUAGAUCUUCUUGGGACUAUGAGAAAUAGUGUUUACUUUUCUAAGGUUCGCUUUUAUGGAAAGCAUUGCGUGUCAUACUCCCUUGACGAUAAUAGAUACUACCCCAGAAAGCAGUUCUAUGAUUGGGGGAAGAAGAUCCUUUUGGAAGCAUUUGGAUUGAACCACCUGAAGAUCAUUCAAGCUUUGCUUAGAAAGGCCAGUGGAAUAGGUAACUGUUUUUCUUGUUAUAGAAGUUUUGACACCUUUUUUAUCCCCCUUGACCAUUUUACUUAAUCUGUGUGGGGUGCCAUUGAUGAUACUUGUUAUACAGGUGACUUAUGCAUGGUUUCUUAAUCUUAGCAAACUCCUAGUAUUCUUUCUGAUACAGUAUACAUAAUCACAAAGCUUGAGUCUCUUCAAGUAGUAUUAUUGCAAGUCGAAUAGUAUUAGGGACUUGGGCACUGUUGCUUAUGAUGGUCUAUCUUGCUUCUGUUCUGCAAAUUAUGAAUGUAUCUGGUUUUCCUCUUUUGUUGAGUUGCUGUUCAUUUGAGUUAGAUCUAUCACAUCUUAUUUGUGAUAGAAAUUGUAUACAUGGUUGGUUGUUCAAGUCUUUCAGUGAUCUCUUUUGAAAAAUUGUGCGGCAGGCGCGAACUUUCAUUUAAAAAAAAAAAAAAACCAAAGUUAGUUUUUGAGUAAAUGAGAGCAAAUGGCCGUUGCCCCCAUUGGUAACUUGAAGCAAAUUGUGGACUGCUGCUGUGAAAACUUGGAGGACCUGGGAAGUAGGAAGUGGAACUUAUCUUAGCAAAAGAAAGCCUAUUCUGCCUUUGUUUUUCAUUAAUUUGGUUGACUUUGGAUGGUGCAGUAUUCAAUUUAGGUAAGCAACCACAAUGCUGUGGGCAGAAACAUGAAAGUAACAAGUGUUUCUGGUAAUGCCAAUUAUAGAGCAGGACUACCUUUUCCCCUUAGACCACCAUUAAGCCACUACUGGGAAUCAGAGGAGCAAAUUCCGGUCCUCCGUGAACCAACUAGUUGGACAUGAGUUUGUUUUUAGGUCUUAACUCCUCCCCCACCUCUUUGAGUAUCUGUUUUCUCCCCUUUCCCGAAGAAUGAUUGCACUUGCUUAUAAAAGAAGUUUGCUUUAACAUCAGAAUCUUCGAGUAUUAUGGAAAUAUGAUUGGACUUUGAUUCUGAUAUGCGAACUACAUAUCUUUGUUACUCUCCAGUAAUUAGUGGUGUGAUAUAGAUAAUCACGGUCUAGUGAUGCUCUGUACGCAUUAUAAACACCUGAAUAGCUUGAUUAUCUCAAUUUGAUAACUGCAGUUGAAAAUUUCAAAUUCCUUUUGUUUUACCUUGUCAGGAGCUCACUCUUUCAUUUACAUGAAAGCUCAAGCAAGAUAAUGCUGCUAAUAAGUAUCGUGUAGUUUGAGAUUGUUGAAUUGAAGGGCAGUGCAGCACCUCUUUCUCUUUGUCAAUUAAUAACGCAUGAAGAUAUGAGUUGUACUUUGGGUUUAUUCUAGGAUGCAGAAUUUUGAGGUGUUUAGUUUAUUUAAUAGAUCAAUAAACUACAAUGAGGAGUGUAGAUUUUUCUUUAGACACUUGAGUGAUUUUAUUUAUAUUUUUACUGGCAAAAAUGCAUUUUGCAAUUAUUGAAUUUUUUUUUUAUGGUGUUUCUCCCCUUUACUUAUAAUAACUUCACGGGCAUGUCAUGAACAUGAGAAUUUAGCAUCUCCGGAAGUUGUAUUUGAAGCAUGUAUCUUUGGUAUUGCUGAGUAAUCGUGCACUAAUGCAAAUUGUAAUUGAUUAAUCAGGCCAUAUAGCAUUCAUAACUAAAAUCUCACUUGCGAGUCUUUGGGUAGCGAACCCCAUUGAGCCAUUAAGGAUGAGCUUUUAGCCGCCUGAAGAGUGAAGAGGAGUCCCCGACAGAACGAAACCCGGGCUUUGCAGUGAAUCAUCCUUGGCCCUUCUGUCAGUACUGCUAGCUAUGCCUUUCCAUGUUUCCAGCAUCUCACUCUCUGCCCUGAUCAAGUAUUAAUUUAGAAGCGGGCCAAAAUACCCCUUGAUUUAAAAACCAUGAUAUCCGAAUUGAUUCGAAAAAUAUGAUGCUUGUUUCACAGUAUUUGAUCAUAUCAAAAAAAAAAAAAGGGGCUGGGUACUCGCUUAUACACGAGACGGGCUAGGACCAGAGGAUUCAAAACUCACAGGAACUCAUCCACCCGGCAUCCGCAUAUAUACAUGCUGGUCAAGCUAGCCAAAUGGUGCGCCGGAUGGGAUGCCCAAGCCGCGCCCACCUCAAUUCAAUUGCACGUACUUAAUUUUAUGCCAACGCCAAACCAUGAUUGAUCAUAUGUACGAUUUCGGUUCCAAAUGGAUGCCCGUUCUUGACAUAGAUCACAUCUUUAAUUUGAAAGGAAAAUGGGAAACAUAACUUUAUGCUCGUGGUAGGUAGCUUUUCAAUGUAAACAUUCCCUAAAAUCUGUAGAACUUAGCCAGGCAGCUUCCUCUAAUCGUUCACAAGUGAAACUGCAAAUUAAAAGGCCCGGAAAAAUACGAAAUUUUGAAAAAGAAGAUGCAACUUGCCAUUUCAGUUGUUUUCCCUAUAUGUCACAUUGAUGUACAAACUAUCUCCAUGUUCAAAUGUCAGACAAAUACAUUUCAAAUGAGCAUCCCACGCUCGAGACCACCUAGAGAAGUCAAACAGUGAAUUCAUUCCUCAGUAAGGGUUGUAUCGGCUACGUCCACGGCCUCUAUCACCACCACGUCUUCCACCACUUGAACCUGCUGUUGUCCCACUGCGGCCACCUCUUUGCAAUGGUUGUGGUGUCUGAGGUUGUGGCUGUUGCCUAGAGAGAGAGAGAGAGAGAGUGAGAGAAAGAUUCAUUUCGAACUUUCUGCAUUAAAGCACCUUGUGAUAGAAAGCUUGGAAUUCAAACUGCCGAACAAUUGUUCAACUAAAGAAUUUCAGCCUAUUCUCUGAACCUUAGCAAAUACAGUUCCAAAAUUGGAACCAUGAUCAAGCCUUUUACAGUAGUCAAAAAGAAUAGGAUGUGGCAAGGCUUAGCACAUGACAGAAAAACUAGUACCAAAACCGCGUAAAAUCACCAUGGCAAACCAAACUAAUUUCACAGGAUUCAGAGCUAGAUCAGUAGAUGACAAUAAUACAAGCACACAUAUCAGCAGAAAAUCCAUUAUGUGGAACUGCAUCAACCGUCUUCAAACUUUACAUGUAUGAUAAUCCUACUCAACUAAUACUUCUAUUCUUCCAUGUUAUGUACAUCUUCAAAACAACAUUUAGGAAUCCUCUGAACUCAGGUCUAGAAUUUUUGCCAUGAAGUACUAAAGCUUCUUAGGAACCACUACGAUAAGAAAACAGGGAUUUAGACUUCCAAGUUCAAAUAACACUGAAGCGUUUACUUACAGGACAUAUCCAAUCCUUCCAUCAGGCAAAAGCAUCGGUAUCAUUGCCAAGCCAGGAGGCGCAGCUCCCGUUCCAUAGACCAGCGGCUGCAAAAAAAAAAAAAAAGGAAAGGAUCUCAACGAACAGAAUCAUUGCCUGCUAUACUCAUGCUUAACCCAGGUUUUGAUAGAGAAUAUUGUCUAAGAACUCUUGCACCAUAAUCUUGUCUCAGUAAUUACAUGCAAUUUGUAUUCAGGAAAACAGAAAAUUGUGAAUUAACUUUUCAAGCAAGGCACUAUUCCCCAAAUAGUUAUAGAUCAUAUUGAGGAAAUAAAAUGUAAGUUAGUAACUAACAUGCAAUAGAUACUAUUUAUUUGGCCCAAAAACUGUAUCAAGUCAAAACAAAAGCUGUAUUAUGCAAUUCAUGGAGUAUGUAAUCUCAUAAUCAUUGUCAGUGCAGAAGUGAUUAACAGACAAACAAGCAAAGGCACACUACUUGACCAAAAAAAAAAAAAGAGAAGCGCAUGCUCACAUACAUGAGAUGCAGUAGCUUGUCUACCAAACAUGCAUAAUUAAUUUUUCUUGCCCAACCAGCAUAUAAUUUAAGUAUGUUCUUCUAUGUGGAUUUUCAAAAAGAGGUAAAAAAAAAAGGAAAAAUUUAUUGCGCACUCAGUAAUAAAAUAAGCCUGCUCUUGAACUGAAAAAUGGAAAUAAGCAUGCCAAGCUAAUAUAGCACACAAUGAGAACAAGAUAGAGCACAAAGACCCAACUGAACCCAAAAGAAAAAGUGGAGAUAGUUAACUAUGUGAAAAAGAAAACCUUUGACCUACAAAUUGAAUAUUAUCUUACUUGGGUUAAACCUCCACUAACAGCACCAUAGUUGCACCAACCAAGCCAUAUCCAAGAGGAGAGGGAUAGGAAGGAAGAACAGCUGCCUUCUGUGAAUUUGGUUGUCCAGAAGACUUUUGAUCUGCCUGUGGCUUAGCAAGCGAGCACUCCAAAACUUGACCUAUCAAGUAAGUCCAGUAUUAACCAACCAAAACAACUUGACAAGAAGUUAUCAUAAAGAAAGCAUUGUACAUGAAGUAAUUUUCAAACAACAGUUUACCAUCUAUCAUAUUUCUCUGUAUUCUUCAAAGCCUUCAUUGCACUAGAUCUUUCAGCAAAGUGAACAAAGCCAAAUCUGCUAUUUUCAUGCCCUGGUUUUGCAGGAGGAAGAACCACCUUUGUGAUCUUCCCAUGAUGCUCAAACGACUUUCUCAGCUGAUCCUGGGUAACAUUUUUGGGUAGAUUCUUCACAUAGACGGCUUUAACCUACAAAUGAGGAAAAAAGUUACCACAUAAGUGUAGUUAACAAAACUGAACAAACUCCCGAAAUGCAAUUUUAAGUAACACAGUAGACGUUUUUUCACAAAAAUAUGGUGCAGUCUCUAGAUGCAGGAUAUAGCAGGUGUUUUUCUUCUACGCAUUGAAGAAAGAUGUGCCUAUCUAGCAUAAUGAGCAACUUCAAUAAGUUGAAAUCCAUAAAAAUCACUUAAAAUAGAAAAUCCCCUUUUAGAGGAUGUAAUAUAUGUAUCCAACUAAAUCAGACUACCACCUAUACAUUUAUUAAGCAAAUACAUUCAACAGAUAUCAAUGGAAAGGCAGGGUCAAAGAAGUUCAAAAGAGCAUUAAUAUCUGAUGCAUAUUGAAGGCUUCUUAUGAAACAGAGUAAGAAAUUACCCAUAGCAGGAUGAACUUUAUAAUCAUUCUUGGGGCUAGAAGAUUCAUUGCCAAUGAAAGUAUCAGUAAAAUUGUUCAAUUUAAGAGAAUUACCAGAGAGGAAGCCGAAGAUUCUACAUUCUUUGGGUCUGCCCAGCUCACUGUUGGGGCAUUUUCAUCAAGUUUAAAGCUCGAAUCAGACAUCUUUUCUCUGGAAUAUUCAGCACAUGCAUGAUUGUAAUACUCAAUGAAUGCAAAACCACGAUUUCGGCUAGAGUUUUGUGGGUCCUGUAACAGCACCUCUUAAUUGAUCAAAACAUACACAACCCAACAGAAAAGUUUAUCUAUCCAUGCCUUGCUGGGAGAAAGGGGUGUUCCAUGGAGGGAGAGAGACUAAUAGAUAACAAGCAAAAGAAAUGGGUAUCACUCUUUUUAAGGAAGAAAGGGUAUGCUAACUCAAUAAAAACAGUAUGACAAAAAUGCAGUGGGACGACCCAGACCUUUAGUAGCUCCACAGUAAUAACCAGGCCCAACCUUGGUUACAACCUUUUUCAUAUCUUCCUCCCCCCAGCUUCUUGGAACGUUACCAAUGAACAACCGGUGCUUUUCCUGAGAUGUAGAACACUUCAGCCUUCUUCCCUAAAAAUACAGAUUCCAUUGUAAACCAGAAAAGUCAGAAAAUGUUGAAUGGUACGGAUGUGAAAAAAAUGGAAAUCAUAGCAGGAUAAUUCAGAAGAGAAGAAGUUCUCUUGGCAAAGGAAAGGGUUUCAAGACUGCCCUACUUACCUUAAGUUCAGUAUUAUUAAGAGACUUGAUGGCCUCAGAUGCCAUUUCCUUCGUCCUGAAAGUGACAAAUGCAUAUCCUUUGUUCUCAUUUGAGCCCUUUCCUUUCAUUAUCCUGAUCUGCAAUUGGCAUGCAAAACCUCUGCAGGAUAAGAAGUCAAAUAGACAUUGCACACAAGAAGGACGGAAAUGAUUUACCUCUGUAACUUCCCCUAUGGAUCCGCAAAAACCCAAGGUCAUCUUCAGAAACAUCUUGAGUAAAGCCACCGAGGUAAACCUCUGAACCAUGAGGAGGAAGUGCAAGAAGUUGAUUGUGUUUUUUUUUCACUUCCUCUUCUAUCUCAGCAUCUUUCAUGUUCUCAUCAUUUAUGACAUUCUGCUCACCACCACCACUGACAUCAUGUUCCUCUGUUUCUUCUUCCUCUUCUUCUACUUCCUCCUCUUCCUCAUCCUCAUCUACCUCUUCCACUUCUUCCUCUUCUACUUCUACCUCUUCAUCUUCUUCCACUUCUACUUCUUCUUCUACUUCUUCUUCUACUUCUUCAUACUCAACUUCCUCCUCCACUGCCUCGUCAUUAUCAUUUUCUCCAUCCGUGUUCACAUGAUCUUCGAACUCAACAAGCUUGUUAGUUUCGCCUGGUUUAGUAGCUGCAGCACUUGACCUCGUCCUUGGCAUCUUAUAGAUCUUAAAAGAUAAGCUUGUGCUGGAACUCUGAUGGGAGCAAAGAAGCCAGAAACAUUUGCAAAAGAAAGAAGACAAGCACGGAUAGAUGGAAACAAAAUGAGAGGCCAAAAGAAGCCUCUGAGUAAGAUUGUUAAUUGAAUUUCUGCCAUUAGGGGUGUGGCUACAAGGAGUUUCAAUUCGAACAAUUUUCAAUUAAGGGCUGAUAGAAUACAGUAAUACAAAAAAAGGCAGGUAAAGGAGAGUUCCAGAGAUGAUCGACAGGAAGAUGAUACUCAACAGGUAGAGAAAAAUGAAUACAUGAAUGAAUGAAGACGUUCGAUCCCGAAUAGUCAUGUCCAGAUUUUAAUCAAAACCAUCAAUAGGACCAAUGUAAUUCACAAAAGAUUAGAAAGGAAAAAGAGAAAUCAACAAAGGGAUGUGAAAGAGAUCUACAAGCAAUAAAAUUGGAGAAAUAUCUCCAAAUGGGGAAAAGAAUGCUAAACUAGUUUGAUCAUCAAGAAACCGUCAAUCCCCAUUUAAAAAAUCAAUCCCACAACCAGAAUUCAUCCCCAGAACAACAGUAAGAUUCCUGCAGUAAAUGUACAUUCCGUAAAUGUACAAUCAAAAACAAACUAAAAUGCAUGUUGCAGAACCAUUUCUCUACAUAUAAACCAUCAAAGAAAAGGGCAUGAAUUGUUACAGACAUAGCAAAUCUAUAAAUCUGUCUCGUCUGCUAAUAGAGAAAGUACCCAAUCCUGCAGCUAUCAUGCUUUUCCCUAGGUUUUCUGAACAAUAUAUGAAAAUUUGCGGGUCAUGGAUCUCGUCAAAUAACUUCUUUCGACUAAUUAGCUUGAGACAUUUCAGACGAUAUAGUGAAUGCAGUAAAUUCUUUGAGGUAGGCAAAAAGGCAAAUAUGAAAAAACAUACAAGGACUUUCUUCUCUAAUGUACUAGAAUCCAUUCAGCUCAGAAACCCACAUUAUAAAGUUAAACGUCCACCCAAUUUAUCGCCAGACCCCCGCACCCACACCCACCCCAAAAAAGAAACACCCCAACCCCAAAAAAAAAAAAAAGCGGAAAAUAUCAAAAUGGCGAAAACGAGGGAUUGCAUAAAAGAAAGACAGGAAAAAAAAAUUACAGGUAGAGAUCAAUCUAACAAUAAAAGAAAAGGCAUAUACAAAUGCAGAAAAAUAUUGAAAAAUGCGUCUGUGAAUUUAGGCGUGUAGUUGAAGAAAUUACCAACGAAUCUUGAAUCUUUCGAACUCUCUAAAGAAAUUCCCGGAUUUUGGAUUUGGAAUUAUCUUGGCAACCCAGUAAAUUGAAUGGCUCCCCUGCGGUGAUGAUAAUUAGGGUUUUGACAAUUUGGGAUAUUUUCUUCCCCUCGAAGUCUUAAGGUUAAGGAGCAAUGGUACAUGACCCGUUUGCCCUCGAGAUUGGGAUACUUGAAUUUUUAUUCGAGAGAGCUUUUCCCUGAUGCGCCCAUCAUUUUGCCCCAGCUUUCUCGCGCCACAAACCGGCACUUGGACAGCCCUGACCAGUUGGGUAUCGAUCCUAAAUCACGACGGUGAUUGGCUUUAGGCCCAUUUGAUUUGAGUGGCGCAAACAAUCCUAAAAGCCCAUCCAUCACUUUUCUGAGUCAGAUCAGAUUUGCCUAAAGAAAACGAAGACUAAUGAAUGGUUUUUUUUUUUUUUUUGACAAAUCAGAGGCUUACCAGGUUAAAAUUUUGGGCCUUAAUACUUUUCAGCUUUAUUAUUCUUGAUAUAGUUGAUUGGUAAAUUUUAUGAAUCCCAUUUAAUUGGUACGUAGAGAGAGAGAGAAAUAAUUUUAUAAGUCGGAGUCUACUCUAACAAUCAUCUGCGGGAUAUUUUUCAAGAUCUGGUUCAUUCUUGGCUGAUGCAUGUUUGAGGUGUUGACGGAGUAGAGUACCAUAUUUGGUGAAAAUGAGGGGGCUAAAGCAAAAUAAUAAACACACGUUCAUAUCCAUAUGUUGCCAUAGAACACCGUUGUUUUAAAGAACACCGUUGUUCUUCUACCUCACUUUGAACCAAAGCAUACUUCCACAUUUUAACCAGAGCUGUUCAAUUUAGCUAAUUUUCAAUUACUAAUGAAACUUCGUUUACAAUUUCUGAACAGUUUGAUCAAGAACCAUCUUCAUUUCAGCAGCCUUGCACAAGCUAACACAAAAUUUGCCGCCUAGAAUAUCCUGACCGUACUCCUUUAGGAAGUGUAGUUUGUUUGCAUGGAGGCACUCAAAUAGGAACAAUCGCAAUGCCAGUUCCUUACACACUAUAUCCUUCAAAUGAUUACAUCAGAAUUUAAACGAAGCAUGACCGCAGAACAAUGAACGAGUUCCCCAAUAGAGAUCUAGCUUUUAGAUUUAGGAAAGUAAAUCCAUCAGGAAGCACAAAUAAAACUAAAGCACUAGCAACUGCAGGGUGUAAAAAGUGAGCAUCCACCAAAAAUAACGCAAAACGAAGGUACUCAAAGGAUGGCCCUGGAUUCCAGCCUGAGCUCUCAAAUAAAUAAGUGUUUAUACUCCCCGUUUGCAAGCUGACAAAUAUGGUUGUAGCCUUGGGUAUCUGGAAAAACCAAAAAGAUAAGCAAAUCAGAAACAUGAAAGCAAAAGCUUCAUUUAGGAUUGAGUAGCAACUGGCAACAGCAUACAUACAAGGUAAUCUUUUCGCGCAAGAAAAAUGUAGCCGUUUUUAGUUCCGCAAGACAUCAUAACAUACUCAUCAGAAGAGUCACGGAUCCACCAGCAAAACAUGUGGGCUUCAGUGAAAGCAAUCCUUUAAUAUCUACCGCUGAUAUGCGCUCGAGCAUUAUCAUCAUCAUGAGCAUCAAAAUUCAACUAACUAGUGAACCUAUUCGGGGCUCAUGAAAGAGUUCUGAAGUUCUAAAUCUGGUCCACUUUGAUCAGAGUAACCAAGUAAACACUUACUGCCAUUAUAUGGAUUCUAAAACGCCUACUCCCUGAAGCUUGGAAAACCUUUUUCGUGUUUAAUUCUUCAUGGUUAACUCCUAAUUAACAAUUGUACAAAUAGUUUAAUUGUCUGACACGAGAGCUAAGAAAAUAUUGAAAAGUUCCCUACAAGAUCCGGCAAUAAUCACCAGCCUGCCCUUUUCAGAUAAGGAUAAAUUGACUACCAAUAUUGGCAAAACAUAGAAAGAUAUGCCUACUUACACUUCAGGCUUUUACGUCCAUUUGUGCCCAAAAUAUAACAGGAACCGGCAAAUCUAAAGCCAUUGCCAAGAGAUGCUCAAGGAAUAAGUUCGCUUAAUACGGGCGAGUCGUUGGCAAACCAGUUCCAGCAUCAAAGCAAUUUAGAUUUCAAGGGUCACAAGAACCACUUCAAUCUAACAGAUCCACGCAUAGCCGUACAAAUUCAAUUACACAAAUCAUUAACAUACAAGCACCAUAAGCAAUCAAAAAACCCAAGCCAAGACGAGCAGUCUGCCCCAGAAAACAAGCCACUGAAGAUUUUUUUUUUUAAGAGAGAGAGAGAGAGAGAGAGAGAGAGAGAGCAAAAUGGGAAAAAAAAUGAAAGAAAUGUUAAAAAGUGCAAAAUCUUACCAAAAACAUCGCCAAAGUUGGUCCAGAUAUCGGCGCGGAUAGACUGAUUGCUAUCAGCAAUACCAAUGACUUCAACAAAAGUGGAAAGGGGAGCAGGUGGAUGCCCUUUCACGAAUAUUUGUUGCCCAUCUGUUGAUUUUCCGGUGACGGUGCCGCUUCCGUCGGAGCGUAAGACUUGAAUCACGGCUCUUACCCGCUUCCCGACGUGCAUCCGGAGUAACUCGCCGUUCACUAAUACUGCUGGGCUUGAGGUGUCCAUCUCUUCUGUAUCUGCAAUAAUACAAGUAUAUAACAAAAUCAACCACAAAUAUCAAUCCUUAGAGAUGUCCAUUUCGAUUUAUUGAAUAAAAUCAAAGGGGAAAAUCGGGAGAAUUUUAAGAUAUUUUACCUCCUCAACCUUUUAGGUUUUCUUGGAAAUUCCUCGAUUCCUAAACCUGCGACUCUGCUACAGUAACAUGUACUACCACUAGUAAUGGAGUAUGUGUUUGUCGUGGUGACCACUGAUGAGCCUAGAGGGAGGCUACUACUGCUAUGAUUAAAUUUUAUCCUCUCCUUUUCAUGUUCCUUGGGCCUUUCACAAUUUUUGUUGGAAGUGGCGGCAAGUGUUCCCGCCCAGUGAUCUGCAAAAUAGGACGCGGGUCGGAUUGAAACCGAACUAGCAUUAACUGGGUGGUAAAUAACGAGUGUGUUUGAAUUACUGAAUUAUUUCAUAUAAUAUUUUAUUUGUAUUAUAACAUAUUUUUUAGUUUAUUUUUUUAAAUAUUUUUAAAUAUCUUUUUAUUUUACAUACACCACAUCGUAAAAAAUACUAUAACAAUUAUUCCAAAUAAUACACUCUAUCCACACACGCUCAAUGAAAGCCUAUUUAAAUAGGGUAUUUAUUAAGGUAAUUAACUAUAAAGGGUAAUUAACUAUAGAGUUACCGAAAAUUUUCACUUCUAUCCUAUUCUUCGCAUAAACAGUUUUGAGUGUCCAUGGUUAGAAGAUCCUUUUUGAAAUACGUACUGUAAACUUUUUUGAAAUAUGACAGGGUAAUUAACAUUUGAAAGUAUAUAUACACACACACACCCUUAAUCACAGCGUGAUUCAUCAGACAAAAUAGUCCGAGUCUUUUGAUCUACGAUAAGAAGAUUAGUAUGAUGUCUAAAACGCAAGUUUACAGCAAUCAACAAGAUUCGAAAUACACGUGCGUGCUUUAAACUACAUUAACAUCAGUACAACAAUAAAUGUUCUAGUAAAACGCAAGUAUACAACAAAUGAACAUGACUGGCACUUGCAUUAGGGUCGUAAAUCGUAACUACCAUUUUCCCUGCAACAAAGCCCGAGGAUGAAUGUCCGUACAGGUGCAAAGCUGAUUUUGCAAUUUAACAAUAAAUUCAUAUUGGGUAAAUGGAUGUUCCGAAUUCCCUCUCAAAGCAUCAUAUUACAAGAGCCAAUGAAGCCAGUGAUGUAUGUUGAGCAUCUAUAAGUGAUGACCGACUUAGCUCCUGAAGCUUACCAUCAUCUAAGAGUAAAAUUCUCUGGGCCAUAAGAACUGUUUCCAGACGAUGUGCAAUGACUAGCACCUGCAAACACUCGUAGACGUACAUCAGCACCUAAGUGGACAAAAGGUUAAAAAGAAAAGAAAACGAAAAAAUAAUUCAUGCUGCUGCUAUGACUAUGAGGCGAUAAGAUGCUGAAAAGAUAAAGAAAUAAAUAAAAAUUGUACUUACGGUACGGUUUUGCAUCAGCCGUUCCAGAGCUCGUCUCACUUGCAACUCAGACCUGCUGUCUAAAGCAGAAGUAGCUUCAUCCAGAAUCAGAAUGGAAGGGUUUUGAUAAAGUACCCUUGCAAUUGCCAGUCUGACAUAAAAUAAUGUUAUAUUACUGAAGGUUCUGCAGCAGUUGUGACAAUUAAAACCAUAGCCAAUAUGUUUCAGAAGAAAAGAAAUUCUAAAACUGAUAACUCGUCCUACAAUUUUGCUAAAACUCGUCCUAUGAGUCACGGGAGAACUUUCCACUUAAUGAACCCACGCCAUUCUCUAUGCCAUACCCUGGCAGGGCUAAGAAAGGCUAAAGUACACUCGCUAAAAAGAUGAUACCUUUGCUUUUGGCCUCCACUCAGACUUGAGCCCCUAGGUCCAAUAUUGGUUUGAUACCGAUCUGGAAGUGUUUCAAUGAAUUCAUCUGCAUUUGCAAUUCUAGCAGCAAAUUCAACCCUCUCCAUAUCAAUGUCAGCCAUUAGAUCCCUAUACCCAAUAUUUUCAGCAAUAGUCCCUGAAAAGAGUGUCUGACAAACAACAUAAAAUAAAAUCAGAUCUAGCUACAGAAGCAGUUUUGACACCGUGAGAACUGUUCCAUAGAUCAAAUCAUAGCUGUAAAUACACGAGGUUGGCAUGCAUUUUUCAAUUGGUCUUUGUUAGGAUAAAAUAAUAGAAGACAUAUCAUCCACAUUUCUCUAAUGUUCAACUAAAUAUCUAGAGGAAUGUCAGCAAUCCAGCUUUCUCAUCAUUCUUAACUAGGAUUUUCGAAAGUACAAAGCCUCAUUAUUUUCUUUCAUCCCAGAAAACAUGGAGCUCCAUAAGAAAAUGAAGAAUGGAAUGACACUGGUCUUCAGGACGACUUCUCAGCAUUCCCAACUUUUCAAAGCUACUAAAACUCUAUCAUCCUAUAAAUCAAAGCUCUCUAGUGUGUCAUAUUUGAUGCUAUGCAUAUCCCAUUCCCAAGACUAAAACUCCAUCAUCCUAUGGUUGAUGUUUUCAUCAACUGCAGACAGAAGAUGUAACAACAGAUGAAUCUUAAACACAUUACAUGCAAAAUACUCAUUUAAUAAUCCCCUAAACUGAAUAAAAAUUUUCACACAAUAUUUGGACUGUUUCUCACCGAAGCAGCGCCAAACUGAAAAGAUACCUCAAACCAAAGUAAGACUAGAAUUAAACAAACGUGAAGAACAUAACUAGAUCAGUAUCUUGCCACUCACUACAUCUUGAGAGACGAGACCAACAUGCCUCCUUAGAUUUUCCAGUCGUAUAUUUCGAAUAUCAUGGCCAUCCAUAAGUAUGACACCUGUCAAUAGAAAAUAAGUAAGCUCCUCUACACAAUAGGAAAGAUGGGUAUAGUGAUCAUAAACAAGGAUCAAAGGCCAAUUGAAAAUGUGAAAGCAUAUGUUGAAAUGACAACACAACUUACCAAAACAGGAUCAUACAAGCGAAGAAGAAGUUUUGCAACAGUAGUCUUUCCUCCUCCUGAUGGCCCAACAAGAGCUACAAUCUCUCCGGCUUUGAUCCGAAAAUCCACACCAUUCAAAACAAAUUGUGUACUAUCUUCAUAUCUAAAAGAGACACCAGAAAAUUUUACUUCUCCAAGAACUUGGUCUAAUUCAACUGAAUCUGGCUGCUCAAUCACCUAAAACGCAAAAAAUUGAAUAAAUAGCUUGUUGCACAAAUAAAGAGUGAUGCUGCCAGGGCUGACAGGUGGUAUAUUCUCCACACCCACCCCCAACCAGAAAAAGAGGAAGAUCCUAUCCAAAUAGAAAGUAGUUAAAUGAUUUAAAACCUGAGGUAUAAAACUUGUCAAAGUAAACAAGCGCUCUACUGCUGGCUCUCCUUGCUUUAAUUCAUUGUAUGCUUUACCCACACCCUGCAUAAUCCUGUAAACUUAGAUUUAUACUCUAAGAUAGCUCCAUAUAUUCUAACAAUGAUAUAAAUACGGAGGAUCACAAAAAUAUGGAGAAAUAGAUGUGAAAGAACAUUCAGGCAUUAGAAAGAUGCGCAAAAUAAAGACCUGAACUAUUUCCAUCAUCUUCACACAAAAAAUGCAUAAUUUAGGUAGGACAAGAAAUUAGCUAGGUGUAAUCACAUGGCACAUUAUAUCAUCUCUAUAUUAAAACUAAAACUACCAGUUGAUGAAUAUAGAACUGCAAAUUUGCAGCAGCACUGGAAGGAUGAUAACAACCAUAUCUCUUGCAGUAUCUAAUAUCCCAUCAACUAUGAAACAGUGCAUUGUCAGUCAGUCCCAAGGAAAAUUGAGUUUUGGAACCUGUUCUCUCAUGGUUCUCAUGACAAGUUGACAACCUAGGAAUUAAAUAGAUAUUAAAUUAAGUUCAACGCAAUUAUUGAUACCAAGUAUAAAACCAAUUAAGGAACAGUUGCAGAAAAUGUUCAUGUACCAGAAAUGUCAGCCCUGAAACCUCAAAAUGCAUUAAUUUGUUGAGAGUCAACCAGUAAAAAAUUAUGAGCACCAUGCUUGCAAACGAUCAUAUCUACACAUGCAUACUGACAACAGAGCCAAGAAUGAUUGUAAAAGAUUAUUUAGCAAUGCGCCAUCUACUGCAUCAUGACCUUUUUCCCCCUUUUUGGCUUUGUUUAGCUGUGUCAUGACCUUAUUCCCUUAAAUGAAAUAUUAUAAGAAAAAAAUGCCUCAGAACUAAUCAAUAUCAAUCCCUCAUACAUGGUGUCAACAACUAAGGGGUAACAAAUACAAAGUUGUUGGUACGAAUCCAUCAUUUAUCACUUAGUUCAAACAAUAGUAAGAGAUGAAAACUGUACCAAAUUUUGUCCUUCAUCAGGGAGAGAAACUCAUAACCUUCUAGGGAUAAAAUUCUAGUGCAAGUAAUUGGGAUUUCAGAAGUAACCAAAACUUCGUCAUAUCCAAAAUUGUAAAACUAUGUGAAGACAUCCAAUGAAAGCAGGUGUAUAACUCAUAAAGAACCAGACACUUACAUGAGGAGAAAUACUACUAACAUGUAAAAUGCUUCACAACAUUGAAGAAAAUGUUACCUGAAUCGGCUCGAUCAACAGGUACAAUGAUGUUAUGAAAGAAACAAUUGCAGAACAAUCCAAUGAAUCUCUUGAAGCUACCACUGAGCCAGCACAAAUUGUGAACAAUAGCCCAAAAUAAAAGAUCUGUAUUAUAUGUGGAAUUAAGGCCUUCAUUUUCUUCUUGUCUAAACACGCAGAGCAGUCAGUGGAAGCAAGCAACUGAAACCUGACAUUUUCGCAGAGUUCUGCAUUAUUUGCCUUCACAAAAAGAAUUGAAGGCAGAACCUAUUUUGAACAACGAACAGAAUUACACAGUUAUCCUAAGCAUGUAAUAAAAAAAUAUAUAGCCAGUAAAUUAUACAAUCACAAAAACUGAGGAAAGGCUAAUUGCCAAAGAAGGCUUUGAGGCACCACAACUUGACUUUAAAAAUGCCAUAACUGGUAAUCAAGAUGUAACAAAGGAAAGACCAACAUGCAUAAGUAAAGCUGAUCCAAAAAUGUGAUGCACAUGAUAGGCAGAGAAAAAAUAUAUCAAGAAUGCACGUGUCCAAAAAUUACGAAUACAUUUCCUUUGUGCUCUUUCAGGAAACAGCAUAGACCUGGCCAAAGGCCAAGGAAAAAAUCUCUUGCAGUUAAGGCAAAUUCUGGUAAUCAGUUUGAAAGCUUUAUCAAGGCUUAAUACAAUGAGAAGGCAUAAUACAAUAGUUCAAAGUUUUGCGGAGUAAGUUAAGAUGCCUCACAACUCCCAAUCCCAAGAAACAGCUCAUGACCAACAAAACAGAUAGCUCCACUUGCUCCACAAUGAAGAGAAAAUAGUGCUGAUUUUUACAAGCAAAGAAGACAACACAGAGUGUUUCUUAUAUCCCAUCCAUCAUGAACUCAAAUUUUCAAGAUAGAGGAAUCAUACAUAGUCAUUAACGUGUAUACCAGCCAAAUUAAACCAUUAACGUGUAUGAAACGUAUGCCAGCCAAUUAUACCAUACCUCAUUCAAAUAGGCCGAGAGAGAAGCAACACUAAGAUGCGCUCUAUUAGAUAUCUCACGAAGAUUUCACCAAGGCAUCCAACCAUAAGAGCCAUAACUGGAAUCACCUUCAAGAAAUGCCAUAGAUUUGACAGUGCAAUCGAUGCUCCAUUAAAACACACACAUAGAAAACCACAAAACAGGAACAAAAACUUAUAACCUAUCAUUUCCUCACCAAAGCUGAAAUCAAGGAGAGUACAGGCUAAUGACCAGCAUCUGAGUACCCAUUGUUAAUAACUGCAAGGUGCUGGGCACAAUGGUCUGCCAAAAUAAGUAGAGAAAAAUUAUAUUAUAAGCAAUAUAUCCAACAGCCUUAGAAGUACACUUGGCAAACCAUAAAGGCAAAGUUUUCACACAGCUGAUGGCCACCAAAAAAAUUGCAUUGAAAAUAAUCACGAAUCAAGCUAGUUGACUCAAAAAGAGCUUGUUUCAGAUCAAUCUAUCACAUGGUCAAGAAAUGCCAUAGAUUUGACAGUGCAAUCGGAUGCUCCAUUAAAAACACACACAUAGAAAACCACAAAACAGGAGAACAAAAAACUUAUAACCUAUCAUUUCCUCACCAAAGCUGAAAUCAAGGAGAGUACAGGGCUAAUGACCAGCAUCUGAGUACCCAUUGUUAAUAACUGCAAGGUGCUGGCACAAUGGUCUGCCAAAAUAAGUAGAGAAACAAAUUAUAUUAUAGAGCAAUAUAUCCAACAGCCUUAGAAGUACACUUGGCAAACCAUAAAGGCAAAGUUUUCACACAGCUGAUGGCCACCAAAAAAAUUGCAUUGAAAAUAAUCACGAAUCAACUAGUUGACUCAAAAAGAGCUUGUUUCAGAUCAAUCUAUCACAUGGUCAAACAAAACUCGAACAAGAUUUUACUGGUUUUAGCCUUUUUUUAGCUGCAGUCAGCCUCAGCCCCAGUUUCCAAAAGCUUAGAAGUUACACUACAUACAUCAAGCAGUUGAGCACGACUCUGGCUUGGCUAGAUAAAAGCUUGUCCAGAUUUAGUUCAAAUAAUGAUCAAGCCAAUCCCGAUCCAAUAAAAAUAAGUAUAGCGGGAAAAGGGACACUCACGUUUAAGAAGGAAUAAAUAGUAUCCGCUACGUCUGCGGACUCAGCUGUGAUCCGAUAAGCUAUAUCCCCGGCAGAAACUCCAUUUUUACCUUCAAAAAACCUAAAUCUCUUUCUAAAACUCGACGGUAUACAGAAACCCUGAUAUUAUACACACAGUUAGAGCGGCGUCCCAGAGAACGCCUGCUGCAAGUAACUCGAGAUAAUUCUUACAAGCACGAGAACACCCAAAAUUAAACCCUGGUCUCGCAGCGUCACAGCAUCUAAAGUGGUCAAGACAGCGGAUAAUCUGCCCACCUUGGGUACGAUUUGGGAUAGAGAGUAGACUGAAAUGGCGCCGCAGAGCCAACCAUAGAGGACGGGUUGCCAUUGGGCUUGGAGGUAGGGUGUGAGGGGUACAGACGGGCAAGUGUAUGUGGUGUAGAGUUGAGGUUGGCCCCGGGAGUAGAGGAUUUGAGACAGGACGGAAUAAUGCAGCGGUGACGUUUUGAAAGGCGGUGGCGACAGAGUUGGAAAUGGUGGAGGAAGGGGAGUAGGAGUCAUAAACUGGCGGUGUAAGUUGAAACAGUAGCGCCAUACCGUAAUUUGACGGCAAAGUACUUACUACUAAGUAAAAUAAUAUGUUAGUACUACUCUGGUGGAAGCAAACGCCGACGUUUUAUAAUGACCUUCGCACUUUGGAAAUUCUUUAGGCUUGUUUGGGAGGCUUUGAUUCAUGAUCAUCGGAGAACAAAUCGAGAACUAAUUCGCUCAAUAUAUAUAUGAUGGAUUCUUAUUAGAACACUAAUAAGGUCUCUAAAGUGCAGCUGUAUUUGAUAAUUUUUUCAGCUAGUAAUUGUGAUUACCAAUGGAAAUGCUUAAUCUCAUGUCGAGAUAAUAUAAUCCACACAUUCUCUUUAUAUAUUGAUAAGAAUGAUAUCAUUUCAAUGUUUUCUUCCACAAUGCAACUAACAACUUGCGAGACCUAUAUAAUUAAAGAUUAAUCUUCAUACACUAACAGCGUAUACACUUUCAUCAUUACUAGUGUUUUGACCCAUGCUAUGCACGGGAUUAUAUUUCAAAUCAAAAAUGAUAUUCUAUAUAUUUAUAUAUUAUGGUACAAAAUAAUAAAUAUAUAUACUAAAAAUUUUAAAGAAGUGAUGCUUAAUAUUUUGAAAAAAAAAUUAAUCUGUAAUGAUUUACAUGAUAAAAAAAUUGUUAACGGAUUUAAGGAGAGGGUUAAGUUGGAUGGUAAGGUGAGAAGAGUUUUCUUUAAAAAAAUUAAUUUAUCAAUAUCUGACAAAACAUAUUAUGUUAUACUCAUAUAUCAAUACUCAUAAUAUAAAAAAAAUAAAUUAUAACCAAUUUAUUUUCUUCCAUUUUUAGGAAAAAAAAUCUUUCUCCUUUCUUGUGUCCCUAUAAUUGUUUAAUGCAUUUAGAUUAGCAUUUUUCAUAAACUUUAACGUAUAUUUAAAAAAAAUCUCCGUAAUACGUGUUUUUAGAAUUCUCUAAAUUAUUAAAAAUCACCAUCAUUUCUCUUUUUCCUUAUCCGACACCUAGUCAUCAGAUGCCUCUUACGACUUUCAUAUCUUCUAUCAUGGUACCACUCUCCUAUUAUUAUUUUUUUGUCAUUUCAAUCAUAUUCAUGGCAAUCCUCUUUCUUCCUCUCUCCCUUCUCUGCCCAUCCUCGUAAUCCAUAUUUUUUUUUCAACCUUUCCCGUCACUUUUCAACUUCUCACUAUUUUUUUCCCUCCAUCCCCCUAUAUCUAAUCUCUAAAUUCAUAUCCCUGCAACCCAAUAUAUUUAAUUUUACCUAUCAUAAUGAAAAUAUAAUUUUGAAAAUUGAUUACAAUGGUUGCAAUUAUUAGUAUCUAAUAAUGGGAAUGAAAAACUGAUAAUAUCUAUAAUAUUCUCAAGUACUACAAUCAAUAUAUAUAUAUAUAUAUAUUUAACAUAGCAAAUACAUAUUUACAUAUGAAGAGAGCAAUAAGAAUACUAAAUAAUUAAUGAUAUCAAAAGUUAUCCUUAGUGUUUGGGUUUUGCACUCUUAUUCAAAUCUAAUAUCAAAUUUGGGCCAGAUAUAUACAAAUUAAGUAGUAUUUUAGGGUUGAAUGUUCUAUAUCUUUCUCUUAAACUAUAAUGUUUUUUUUUUAUAAAUUUUGGUAGAAUUGGUGUUGUUAUUAUCAUUAUUUUUUUUUAUCAAAAAUGAAUAUUUCAAAAAAAAAGUUUCCACAUUAAAAGGCUAGCAGUACUUUGUUUUUUAUUUAGUGAUUUUAUAAUUUGGAUUUCAUGAAUGGUACCAUUCUUGAUUUUUUAAAUCCACGACAUUAUUUCAUGAAUAUUUUUUAUUUAAUUUUACCCUUUUACUUAGGAUUACUAAAUUAAAAAAUAAAAUAUUGUCAUUUACUUUUUUACUUUUACUAAGUUUGGCAAUACUUUCUUUUUAUUUACCCUCCCACUAAUAGAUUUCAAAUCAAAUUCCUAUAUAAGUGGAGUCACUACUUUUUUAAAUUAAAAAGACAUUGAAGCCACUUCUUACUUAAGAAAAUAUUAUUUGCACUCUAUUUUUUAUUAUUUGCAAUUCCACUAUUUGUUUUAUCAUAUAGUAUAAUUAAUGAAAAGUAUAUAACCAAAAUGAUUAUUGAAGUGUGAAUAACAAAAUUGGAGUGUAAAUAAUCUUACUUAUUUAAAUUAGUAAGAAAGUAUGAAAAGAUGUUAUAUUUGUUAUCUUUUCUUAUGGUCUUAUAGAAGUUUUAAUUGUUGUAGAAUCAUAAAUACCGCAAGACAAUCGAAAACGUGAUGGGUUGAAGUUCAAAUAGGAUAACAUGCAUAUUAACCAAUAAUUUGAAAUGAAAUGAUUUUAAAAGGUAACGAAUAAUUUCAAAUGUGAAGAGUAGAUGUGAAAGUUGAAAGGAAUAUAUUUAAUAAAUUAAAUUAAAUGUGAAAUGCUAGAAAAAUGGAAUUGAUUGUGUGAAAAUGCAUGAAAACUUGUUACUAAAAAUCCCUUCUCAAAUUUAUAUAAAUAUAGAUAUGCAUGAUACAUAAUUUGAAUUUAAAUUUAAAAUUUAAAUUUUACGUAUAUAUCGUAUAUCCAAUCGUGAUAGUGUAUAGAUGGUAAGAUUUACUAUGGGCCUGUUUGGAAGCUUGGUUUUUUACCAAGUUUAUAUAAAACUAGUUUUUUAACAACUUUUGCUACAGGAACCCCAAAAAACUUAUCAAAGUUUUUAACCUACACACUUAAAAUAUCCAAAACAUAACAAAAAAAAUUCCCUUCCCCUUUUCUUCUUCUUCCUCCCUCACUACCACCUCCAUUGCCGGCUCCGUCACCAAUUUCCGGUGCCGGUGCCUGUCCUUUUUUUUCCCCAUUUUUUUCCCUCUCCCCUCUUCCUCCCCUGCCAUCAUCCUCCCUUGUCUUUUUUUUUCUCUCUUACGUCUGGCGCAGAGGGGGGUGGCACAGAGAGGGGCGGCCAAGGGGGCAGAGGGGGAGGGGAAGAGGGGUGGCCAGGGGGCAGAGGGGGGAGGGGGAAGGGGUAGAGGGGGGCUGCCGGGGGGGAAGAUGGGGGAGAGAGAGGCGGCGGGGGGAGGAGAAGGGGGCAGGGAGGGGACGGGAGGGAAGGCGGGAGGAGGGGCAGAGGGGGGAAGGCGGGGGAGAGAGAGGCUGCGGGGGAGGGGGAAUGCGGGGAGAGAGAGAGGAAGGGGGGGGAGGGGGAAGGGGCAGAGGGGGGCUGCGGGGGGGAAGAUGGGGGAGAGAGAGGCGGCGGGGGAGGGGGAAGGCGGCAGGGAGGGGGACGGCAGGGGAGAGAGGGAAGGCGGGGGAAGGGCAGAGGGGGGCUACGAGGGGGAAGGCGGGGGAGAGAGAGGCUGAGGGGGGAGGGGGACAGCGGGGAGAGAGGAAGGCGGGGGGAGGGGGAAGGGGCAGAGGGGGACGGGGGAGGUGGAGUUGCAGCUGGGGGUGGUGGAGGUAACGGGGAAGAAGAAGAAGAAGAAGAAAAAGAAAAAGAGAGGAAAGAAAAGAAAAAGGAAAGAAAGAAGAAGAAAAGAAAAAGAAAAAGAAAGGGAAAGAAAAAAAAAGAAAAAAAAAGAAAAGGAAAAAAAAAAAGUUUUUCACCUUACAAAAACUUUUACAAAAUUUUUCACCUAACAAAAAUUUCUACAAAAUUUUUUCAAAAACUUCUACAGUGCACUACAGUAAAGUUUUAGACAAACUCCCAAAAAACUCAGGUUCCAAACAGGCCCUAUAUAAUUAAUGUUAAAAGUAAAUAGGAUGCUACACUUUGCUUGCAUAGGUUUCGGGAGCUGUAAAACUACCACUAUUAAUUACAGUAAUAAAUAGGAAAUCUUUUCAGAUAAGAGAAAAGUCUGAACACGAGACAUUAAACAUGGAUUGUUAUUUCUUUGAGUCAAAUGUUACAAGCAACUCUUGGGAAAUUUAGUAAUUGCCUGGAUGGUGAAGUUACGUAGCCCUUAGGUUGAGUGAGACUCUUUUGGUGUCUCUGAAUGUAAUUUAGCUUUUCCCCUGUUAAAUUCCCAUUGUUGAAAAAAAAAAAAAAAGAGGCGUUGUCAUCUCAACCCCAAAGAACAGUUAGAAAGGAAACAAUAAUGGUUCCACCAAAGAAUAUCAGAAACAAAACAAAAUUUGCUUAAUCUUACAAAGAGAAUAGCAAAGAAGAAAAUAGGGUAUUUUCAAAUUAAAAAAAAAAAAUUGACAACAAUAGCCAAAGAAAUAAGAACAAAAAUUUUGUCCAAGAUAUUCAUGGAACAUUUAGUAUCAUUUUCUUUUAACUUUUUGACUAUGGGAACACAGCUCCAGCCAGAGCUACAAACAAUUCCUGAAACAAGGAUAGCUGAUUUAAAUUUAUCCAAUGCAUCUUUCUUCUCAUUUUCCUUUUUCUCUGCUGCUUCAAUUUGUUCCUGACAACAUUGCAGCAUUGUAAGUAAUUAAACAGCAACAAUCAAAUGCACCAAACAAAGCAAUCAACUAAUAUUGAGAGCAGCUUGUGUACGUGAUUCCACAAAAACUGCUUUGGACUCGCUCAUAUCUGCAUUCUAAAGUCAGGAAACUGACAUCUGCACUGCAGGCUUGGAUUUCGGAAACAUUACCUUAAUCUGCAAAGAGGUAGCAACUUCUGAGGAGACGGGAUCGACCUCGAAAUUCUUGUUUUCUCCUGGGUUUAACUCCUUUUCAGCGUCAGCAGCCGGAAAUGCGUCUCCAGGGCUUGCCAUUUUCUGUCAGGAUUACAAUAUUACAAAUAAUAUACUACUAUUUGCUUCCAGUCUUUCUCUAUGUUUCCUCUUCUCGUAGCUUGUCUUGACUCUUGAUUGUUAAUGGGAAGGAGAAUGGGGAAGGAAGAGAGCUAAGCUGAUAGCAUUUGGCUUUCCAGAAUUGGAAGCAAAGAUAAAUUGGCCAAACACUUGUCAGUAGCCCUACAAAUGCUAUCGUGAAAAAGGAUCUCAACUACCCCUUCACCAAACCCAAUUAAAAAAUAAAUAAAAAAAAACUGCCACUUCACCGUCCUUGCUUUCAACUGCCCGACAAAACAGGUGCUGCUUAUCAACCUCGGACCUCCAAUUUCCCAAAUCACCCUCGAUCACUACUCCUGCUCUGCUGUGCCGAUUCUUUUUCUUCCUCUUUUUUUUUUUUGGCCCUCCACUGUUUUAUUUAACGCAAAAUGGGAUUUCAUAAAAAUGCUAUGGUCAGCCAUGUAUAUAUAUACACACGUUGGUUGUCUUGAUAUUUUUGCUUUCUUGUAUUUCCAUGAUUCGUCUGACAAUAUUUAAAUCCAUGGACUUUUCUUUGCCACAUAGGUAUUAUUGUUCCUUAGACGCAAAAAGAAAGGAGCAAGAAAAGCGCGAGGAAGUUAAGUAGUAAUGGUUACUUUAAAUUCUGUUUGGAUUGAAAGAAAGCUACACACUGAAGUAUCAUGAUAAUCAUUAACUAUCGAUUUUUCCCUUAAUUUUAUUUUAUCAAAUAAGCAUCCACAAGGAAGUAAUCUUAGUCCUCUACCUCAGUUUCCUUAGUUAGCCGAUAUCAUAUAGGGAUAAGUAAAAUUUAUUGGGAGACGUCACGACACAUGAAGAACAUUUGUACAUCAAAGUGAUCAUUUAGCUAAGCUUAGUGUACAGUUAGAUUUGGAGAUAGUUUUUGUUAAUCCCCCUAACUCUCGGUUAGAAGCUUGUUAGUUUUUGAUUUAGUGGGUGUUGCUAGGCCCAGAAUGGUUUCGUUUGUAAUGGGUUUCAACCCUCCAUUUGAAUCAAAAAAAAAAAAAAAGAAAAGUGAUGAAACACAAAUCUAGGCUUUCUAUUCGUGCAAGCAUUUCAAACAAAGCACUUUCACACGAAAAAACUAAUCUCCGUUGCCCCUCCAGCCCUCCCCGUUCCACGACCCCCCCUGCCUCCCCAAAAAAAAAAAAGAAAAAAAAAAGGGCAGUAAGCUCUCUCUUUCAAAGGAAAAUUUUCUAAACCUCUGGCUUCUGAUGUCAACUGGAGAACACAGAUGGAAUAUGUAACUGGUCCAACUGCCCAAUGGCAGGCACCUUGCCACUGUAAUUGGUUUGAAAAAUUGGCUCUCAGUUCUUGGCUCCAAAACCUCGAGGGCCUGGUCUUGAUGAAGCGAGUCAGCAAACUGUCUCCUUGACUCUGAUCUUCUCUUCCUUCUAGCAGUACCAGGAGGAGCCUGAUGUAAGAAAGGCCACAGAAACGGAGUUCGAAACGUGUUAGGUUCAUUAACAAAAGAAUCGAGUUGUCAAUGAAUCAGCAGCUACAUUACGUGUUAGCUAUGAUGCAUUCCAAGAAUAAAACAGUGAUGCAACUUUGGUGAUAACUGCAGAGCAUCGAUCAACAUAAAUGUUUAUUGGAAAAACACUUAAUAUUCAGAUAGGAUGUGACCAGAUAGAUGCUAGUAUGAUACAAAAGUUUUUUCUUGAACCACAUUGGAGAAUCUGAAUAGAAUAUUGGGUUCUUGCAACAAACAACGAAAUGGGAGAUACUCGGUUCCAGUUAGAGUAGGAUCAAGCUAGACUAUGAAUAAAAAAUCAAGUUCAGGAUAAAGCAGGAGCAGAGUUUGAAUGAUGCAUGAAUUAACUUGUUUUGUCUAUUCCAGCUCUUCUGAGAAGUUUGUACAUGAAGAGAUGGCACAUGCAAAUGAGACAGACACAUAUGCACCUUCUGUUCAGCUUUCAUUGCCUCCUCAAGAUUGCUCAAUGCAGGAAUAGAUCCACCUUCCAUUACGCCCAUGAGAUUCUUCAUACGUACACGCAUUUGGAAAAGUUGAGCAACAAGUUGACUCACCUAAAAGUUUUACCCAAAACUUAUAUUAGGCAAUGAUGCUGGAUACAUGCAGAGAAAAGAAAAGAAAAGUUUUGUUUUGGGCUGUCGAUGAACCACCACAGGACUCCAUAUACCUGUUGCUCUGUUUUUCCAGAAUCUUGUGCAACCCGUUUCCUCCUUGCAGGUGAUUCUGCCAACAGUUCUGGUUUCUCCCUUUCCUCUGCAAGUUAACAGGUUAGCUUAGCUGACCAAAGGGAAUAUGUAUAAAGCAUCCUAUGUUUAUUCUAAAAUUAUGACUAAUAACUAAAAAAGAAAGUAAAAACAGAACUCAUUUUGAUCAUGCAAGAAAGAAAGAGUGUGUGCACUGAAUCAGAACACAUUCAAAAAGACAUUCUGAAGCCGGGUUAGACAAAAGAAGAAUCUGUCUUCCUAGUUCACAUAGCAAUAAACCUAAAACUUUCUCUUAAGUACAUACAAUUGUAACCAAGGAACACAUAUGCCCUCAAAGAAAAAGACAAAUUUUUCCAUGUAAUGUAUCAGAGUCACUAUAUAUGAAUAAAUUGUUAAUAUCCUACUUUGAACAAGUAAAUAAGAAGUUGAAAAAUGUGAUAGAAAGGUGAGGACAUGCUAAUUGGUAGGAAUCAGAGGAAAGACGAAAGAAUCAAGUAUAAGAUUGCUUCACAAGAUUGUAGAGAUUCUCAACAAGACUUGAUUAGACCUGGGGUCAUUGCUUCAAUCAUUGCCUCCAUUAUCUUCAAAUUCUUCUCUGCCUCUCGAAUUUGUGCCGGUGUAACCUGUUCGUCCAUCAAUGAAAUAUCCAUUCAUCAGAAGCACUUAACCAAGUAUCCAAAAUUUCAACUUGUUGAUCCACAACUCUGGAACAUGAGCUAUCUAAAUUUCUCUACACUUACGGAAAACAAAAAGAACAUGAUUAUAUUUUUAAACAAGCAAACUACAAGAAGAAGAAGAAUUUAUACCUUCCCCAUGCCAGGUAUCAUUCCAAUUACACGAGACAUGGAACCCAUCUGUGCAACUGCACGGGUUUGCUUCAGGAAGUCAUUGAAAUCAAAUUUAGCACUCAUGAUCUUCUUCUGCAAUUCUUCAGCAUCUUCUUGGCGCAUCUGUUGAGUGUUGGAAAAAGGCAUAAAUGAUCUUGCGAUUCCACAGGAUAAAAGGAGCAAUUAAGUAGAGGCAAAUUAGUUGCACUCACAACUUCUUGAGCCUUCUCGACAAAUGAUAGAACAUCCCCCAUUCCUAAGAUACGUCCUGCCAUACGGUCAGGAUAGAAAGGCUCAAGAUCCUCGACCCUCUCCCCUCUUCCAACAAGCUUGAUUGGCUUUCCAGAUACCUGUGAUUUGUUUAAGUAUUAUAUGCCACCAACUUCUUUUCAUUAACAAGAAUAAUUAAAGUUUUAGGUGAUUUAUCCUUUUUUAAUUUGUUGGGAAAAGGUGCACUGACUAAUCUUUUGAAGACUUCAUGCGUCAAAAACCAUUUCGUUACUAUAUUGCAAAUUCAUCCCAUUCCAACUAUAAUGACUAUUAGGUUUCAAAGGGUUGAUGGUAAUCAAAAGCAGAAUGUCAUAUCACAAUUUUCAUGCUGUAGAAGAUGUCGAAGCAAAAUGACAUUCUAUUACAAUGUUUUUAAUUCAUCCUAUAAAGAAAAAUCACGAAUGGCUGCACUAUUUAUUCGAAUAAGAAAUCAUGAAAAUGCACUCUUAAUAUCUGGGCAAAGUAGUUUGAGGAAAUUCCAACUUUGCUUCUUUAAAAUGAGGAAUGGGAAAGCCAGGGGAAACAUCAUAAACAUAAGGUCACUUCUAUAAAGGCAGUACCUCUUUCACACUCAAAGCUGCUCCGCCUCUGGAAUCUCCAUCCAGUUUAUAAAAAUGGCACCAGUGAUUCCAAUUUCAAGAUUGAAGUUGUGACCAAAGCUAUAGUUAUUGCAAAAAACUACAGUGAGAAAUAACUCUCAAAAUAUCCAAAAGGAAUCUCAUUUUCCACAUUAAAUUUGUAAAUUAUACUUAUACAUCUAUAAUUCCAAAUAGACAUGCAUGCACACUAACUAGCAGAUAAUUGCAUUAGUUACUAAGUUUCAAUAAUCCAUGGUUCCAAACAUCUUUUUGCUAAACGAAAAAAAUAUCAGAUUGUUUUUUUUUUCAAGAAAAAAAAUAUUGAGAUGAUAUAACUAAGAGAUUCACUCUGUUGAAGCCAUACUUUUUUUAAAAGAUUCUUGCACUCAUAAAAAAAGGAAAAAGAAAAAAAAGCACGUGUUUUUCUCAUAGCAAGACAAAAUGCAUAUUACAUUUCUUGAACUGACAAGACGCAACGUGAAUAUUAUGCAAAUGUACCAAACUCGGAUAUACAGGUCAUGGUUCUGCAUUGCUGAGCAUGAACCAUGAGAAAGGGCAUCUUGUACAAAGCCACAUAGUUGAGAUGACCAGAGGACAAUCAAGUAGAUGACUAGAACAGCAACCUGAUGUGGUACAGCAGAUUGCUAAGCGUAUUGGAAAGGGAAAAACAAUUCUUUUGCUCUUAGUGAUGCUAAAGGAUCAGCGUUAUCAAUGCGAAAGCUUUAUCUUUUAUUGUCUACAUUUAUCAUUAGACAUUCUUAGGACAGGCCAUUCUUGUAAUCAACCACAAGAAGCAACUUAGCUCCGAUAACAAGCAAUGCACAUUUCACAUUGAAAUCAAAGAGGUGAAAGCUUACUUUAAUCUACCUAGUAAGAAAAUGACAAUGAAUACCCUCAAAGUUAUUACAGAUGUUAAGAAUUUUAACAGAUACAAGUACAAAUACCUGCAGCUUCUUGGCCAGUCAUUGCAUCUACAACAAGUAAGACUUCUGUAGGAUUUAAUACCCGUUUCACUUCUUUCAAUUCAUCCAUCAUCGCUUUAUCUAUCUGAUGAAAGAGAAAUCUUAAGACAUCCUAAUUCAUAGACAGUAAAAUAAUCUUCAAAUUCUUUGUAGCGUAGAUUGUUACCUGAAACCUUCCAGCUGUAUCCAUAAUAACCACAUUGACAUUCUUCUUUCUGGCCUCUUCUAAACCUUUUCGUGCUAUCUCAGCAGGUUUGAUCUCAGUUCCUGCUGAAUAAACAGGCACGCCAACCUAUUCCAAAUUUUGAAGAGUUUGCAAAUGAGGUGAAAUCAGUCGGAAGCAUAAAAUAUUGUGUUGCAGACACAGGGGGGGGAAUGACAUUGGGAAAUGCAUUUCACCCAUUUACCAACAACAUGCAAGGGAUCACUGUGAAACAUGAAACAACCUUGAUGAAUGACAUAUCUUUCUAGGCCCUCUUAUGUAUGAAAUUAAAGAUCAAAUUCUAGUUUAUACUAAUAAAGAAAGACUGGGCAUAACUCUUUGAAUUGUAAAUUUUCUAACUCUAUUAACAGUUACAUUACUAGCAAACUCCAAAUUGAAACCUGAGCUAAUAGUCAAGUUAAAUCAAUAAUUGUAUCCAAAUAAUGCUCCUCAUAAUAUGUUGCUUUUUUACUCAUUGACAGCAAGUAACAGAUAUGGUUUGGCCCUGGUUUUGCUCUUAUGGUGCUACAAACAUGUCAACCCAUAGGAAGUAUUUUAUGUAAACAUAUCAAGGAGUGGAGAAUUUCUAGGCACUGUGUAAUAAGGAACUUAACAACUGGGAAACUUACAAUUAGGAAACAGAGUAAGUAGCAAGGCUUUUGAAGUGCAACUUAAGAUUAUUUUUGGCAUAAAAAUUUAAAAAGAAGGGAAACCUAAGUAAGAUUUGUCAUGACUAGGUAAAAAAUUUGAUACCUGUUCACCUAAAAUGACAAGUUGGUCUAUUGCAGCAGGCCUGUACACAUCUCCAGCGAUAAGCAUGCAACUCUUUCCCUGCACUUUAUGAAACCAUAGCUUCAUCAAGUCCAUGUACCAUGUAAAUCUACCUAAUGCAGAGACGAGAGAGAGAGACGGAGACAGAGACAGAGAGAGUACCUGCUUUUUGAGAUAUAAAGCUAACUUUGCACUAACAGUUGUCUUUCCAACACCUUGUAGACCAGCCAAUAAAAUUACAGUUGGCCCAGUUUUUGCAAAAACUAGCUCAGAAACCUCUCCUCCCAUAAGUUUUACUAGCUCAUCAUUCACAAUCUGCAUUGACAAGUAAUUACUUACACAUGGAUGUACAGCCAAAAAGGGAAAAAAAUAACCAAAGAGAAGCACCAUAGCAGACAAGUAUUUUUAUUCCAAUCAUCCACGCGUAUUUGAAUUUGGUCUACAUCCUUGAGUUGACAUGACAACCAAAUUAUUUUAGGGGCAGAAGUGGCUAUAGUCCAAUACAAGUAACAAAUACUUGCAAGAAAACUAAAAAUGGAAACACCCCAGUUAAGAAUUUUGAAAGUCAAAAGGACAAUAGAAUGAUAAAAGGACAGCACAGAAAGAAUUCUGUGGAAGCAGAUGAUUGCCAAGAGAAAUUCAGCAGUGAUAAAGCAAACCCUCAAACUUAAAUAAAUAAAAUACAGAAUCAACCACUGCAAGUUAUGAUCUUCAACAAGAAUUUUUUGAACUGCACUCUUAUUUUGAAAAACUACAUAGCGAAAAUAUCCAAGGUGAAGAUAUGCUUGACAAGUGAAAGUCAUAUUUUAACUUGCAUAGUAGGGUCCUUUCAUCACCAAAGUUGUACCUUAACCAAUUGUUGAUCUGGCCUUACUCCACGGAUUACACCAGUGCCAACAGCUUGAUCACUGACGGCUUGAACAAACCUUCUCACAACAGGAAGGCUAACCUGCCAAAGUGAAAAAAAAUAUCAUUUGGAUUCACCAAACAACCCCCUGAGGAAUAUAGGUGAACAAGAAGUCACUUACAUCUGCUUCUAAAAGAGCUCUCCUAAUGUCUCUCAUAGGUUCAGCAAUGUUUUCCUUGGUCAAGACCUCUGACACAGAAAAUAAGUGGAAAAAAUAUCAGCUUCUUGGCAGGAGCAAGCAGAAGAAGUUUCGGAAAGGCAAAUGAAAGGCCCAAUUUAAACUUUAUGCAGCUUCAAUACAGAUGGCCAUUUUUUAUGACAUUCUUCAUUUUAGAUGGCAAGGCAUUAUCCUAGACAACAUGAAUAAGUUCUCAAUGACAAGAAUAGUAAAUCUGUUGGCUAUUUUCUGUAUUUUGUAGAUCCAAUUCACAAUCAUGUUCAGUUGGCCUCCAAAAAUUAUGACCAUGGACUUUGACAGCAGAGGUAGAACAUGGCAUUACAAACACAAAUUAUUUGUUCACAGAAAACAAAUUUAAUUUGGAAAGUAACAAUCAAAAAUUGGCAUGAAAAUACUAUUACAUUUACAUGUUAAGGAGAGAAACAGAGAAGAACCUUCCCCUUUGAGCUUAUUCCAAGCUGUUUCAAGUCCACUAGUCAGCUGCCCAAACAUCUCAGCCCUAAUAAUAAGUCUACCGCCCGCCAUUUUUCUUGUUCCAGUAACAGCAGCAUUCAUGGAACUGGAAUGGAUCACUCCCCAUAAUUCUCUCUACAGUUAAAUGCCCAAUGAAAGUUACAUUAAAUAAACAGACGUACUAAGAUUACGAUAGGGUUAGUUAAGUGAUAGCAGUAUCAAUGCAAGCAGUCAUUACAGUGAAUGGAUUUCUUGAAGAGAAGGAAAGAGAAUGUGUAGAGCCGAUAAACGAGGAGGAAGAGCAGGGUUGUGUGGAUCUUCUGAGAAAUUUGGAAUUCGAAAGGUGGGUAGUCUUGGAGAGUGGAAGUGCGGUCGACAAAUGGCGCGAAGCAACGGUCGACACAGAUGCUGUAGCUUCCAUGGUACUCUUCAGACGAGGAGAGCAAAAGAAGCGAAGAAAGAAAGAAGGAAAAAGAGUUCUUUCUUCCUCUGUUCUGGUACUUUUAUCCUUUAGGAAUCAAAAGCGAAUAACGUAACGAUACGUGUAAUCUGCUCGUUUAUCCAGGCUAUGUUUGGAUAGCCCGCGGGCGCACCGUUGUAAGCUUUCGACCUUCCUGUACUGCUAGCUUUAGACGACAGUUCAAGACAGCGUCCAACACCAAACCCCAAUGAUAAGUGAUUUUUAUAUAUUGCCAAACUUGCAUUUUUGUAAGGGCAUCCACAAUGCUAUUACACUUUGUGGAGUGUAAUUCACAUGUCACGUCAGCAUUUCACUUUCUCCUCUUUUAUUAUACUUUCACUUACAAUGGAUUACACUCCACAAUGUGUAAUAGCAUGGGUCCACAAUUAAUCAAAUAUUUAUUUUAAUAAUGCAUAACUCAUAUCCAAUAAAUAAAUAAAGUAAUUUUUAAAACUAAUUUUGUUAUUUUUAAAAAAUAAAGUACUAACUUUCGUUAAAUUUUGUACAUUUUGAAUUUUUUUAUUUUCUAAAAAUGAUAUUAUUAAUUUUUAAGUUUGAAUAAUAUAUCUUUUUCUAUGUUUCAAAAAUAAUAUAUUGUUAUUUUUUUUAAAAUAAUUAUGUAGGAAAUUAAACAAAUAUUUGAUACUUCAAAUGCGAAGAUAUCAUAAUAAUCCAUACUUAAUUAAUAAUUCGGAAUGUAAUUAGUUGAACUCCAUAACAUAAUAUUACAUAAGUUAAAUCAAAUGAAUUAAAACUACUCCAAUUUUCAUCCAUAAUCACAAAAAAUGAAUUAAAUGAGUGAGAGAGUAGAAGUGUGUGAGAGAAUAAAAGAAAUAAUAGAGUAGAAUAUUGGGAUAUGUUUUAGUAAAAAGUGUUGUGUAUUUAUAUAGAAUUAUAAAAAAUAAUGCCGUUGGAAAUAAUAGUGCCGUUGGAAUGUUAAAUUCAAUGGGAAGAAAAUUGUGCCGUUGGAAUGUUAUAUUACCGUUGCCAUGGGAAGAAAAUUCAACGGAAUGUUAUAUGAUGCAUGUAAUCCGCAUGACACGGCUCCAAGGAGGGGUGUAAUGGGGAGCCAUUACACUCCCAUUGGAGAUGCUCUAAGCAAAGUUUCGCUAGAGCUAUACAAUCAGCGUACUCGGAAGUAUUUUGUAAAGUGUGUGUUACAAUAAAACUACAAUGCAUCUUCCGUCCCAUUUAUUGUCAUAUUUUUUAUUAUAUUAUUAUUAUUUUUUAUAAACAUCAUGUUUUUAAUUCUUUUUUUUUUUUUAAGAUUUAAUAACUAUUAAUUCAGUAAUACACAAAAUUUUGAUAAACUAAAAAAAUUAAAAUACAUAAAAAAUGAGAUUUUUUAUGAAUUUCUAUUGUAUUUUUUAAUUUUCUAUUAUAUAUUACUUUUUUAAACUAUUAUAUUUAUUUUUUACUGAAUUAAUAGUUAUUAGAUCUUAAAAAAAAUAAAAAAGAAUUAAAACAUGAUGUUUAUGAAGAAGAAAUAGUAAUAUAAUAAAAAAUGGGGCAGAGAAUAGCACAGGAUGUGAGACAGAAGAUCCGUUGCGAAAGAAAACCUCUGUAGAUAACAAAUGACAAGGCUCCAAAUAUACUAGUCCUUUUUUCGCAAGUACUCCUAAUGGGUUUGCUAAUACCUGUUGAUUUUUUUUUUUUUUUUUUUUUGUGGUCAAUGCUAAUACCUGUUGAUUAAGUGACGAUAGAUGUAUAUGAAACUUGGAAAAAGAGAAACCUUUCAGAUUACUAGAAAGAAAGAAAAGAAAGAACUUAGGAACCCCAAGUUCAAGACAAGUCAUGCUGGUAUUAGUAAUGAAAACCAUGCAUAGUUAAGUUUCAUGGUUAAUGUUCGCAGUCAAGAAAAUUUGAUUAAUCAAGAAUUUUGCUAACUUUUACUUCGGUUUUCAUCACAGGUACUAGUACCUUUUAAUUAAUACCAAGUAGAUUUUACACAUAUUUUUGAAAAAUAAAUGCCAUAUAAUAUAUUAUUAGAGUCAAUGGGGCAGGGGAAAAUCCGGGUUUAAAGAAAAAAUAAAAUAAAAUGAAAGCAACGGUGAAAUGCGUUAGUGCUUAUCCGCGGUCUGGGUGGAUCGAGCUCAUAACAUGAUUUUAAUGAUCAGGCUACGGGCCUUUCCAAAAUAAAGCAGACUAGUCUUGCAUCGGUGUGAAGCUCCCAAAACCACCACCACGCAGGCAACAACCAUCCAGUUCCAUGGAACACUCGACUAAGAGAGCUUUCCAAACAAGGCCACUACCAACAAAGCCUCACUGUCUAUCGCAAAAUGCUCCGUUCCGGGGCGCCCCAAAUGCUUUCACCUUCCCCUUCACACUCAAGUCCUGCGCCGCACUUCGAUUCCCAUCACCGGCACACAACUUCACUCUCACGUCACCAAGACCGGGUGCUUGUGUGAACCCUUUGUCCUACACGCGCAUUGAUUUCUAUGUAGCGCAAAAUGCCUUCUAAGUGAAGACGCUUAUAAGGUGUUCGACGAAAAUCCACUGUGUAAGAAGCUGACUGUCUGUUACAAUGCUUUGAUUGCUGGGUACGUUCAGAAUUCAAAUCUUUUAAAUGGGGUCUCGUUGUUUCGCGAGAUGAGGCGAAUGGGUGUCUCAGUUAAUGCAGUCACAAUGGUAGGAUUGGCCUCAGGGUGCACCAAUCCGCUGCAUAUGAGUUUGGGAAUGUCUCUACAUUGUUUGAGUUUGAAGAGCGGUUUUGGCAAUGACUUGGCUGCUGAGAAUUGUUUACUUUCAAUGUACGUCAAAUGUGAGUCAAUACAACUUGCUAGAAAGCUGUUUGAUGACAUUCCUGGAAGGGUUUGAUCACUUGGAAUGCAAUGAUAUCUGGAUAUGCACAAAAUGGGCUUGGUACCCAUGCUUUGGAUCUUUAUUAUGAGAUGGAAUCAUCAGGUAUAAGCCCCAAUGCUGUCACGUUUGUUGGGGUUUUAUCAUCUUGUGCUAACCUUGGCGCUCGGAGAAUUGGUCAGGAAGUUGAGCAAAAGAUAUGGAACUUGGGACUUGGAUUUAAUCUUUUUUUGAAGAAUGCACUGAUUAACAUGCAUGCUAGAUGUGGUAAUUUAGUCAGAGCUCGUGCCAUUUUUGAUGAAAUGCAUGAGAAAAGUUUAGUAUCUUGGACAGCUAUUAUUGGUGGUUAUGGCAUGCAUGGGCUGGGAGAUAUUGCCGUGGAGCUUUUUGAUGAGAUGAUUAGGACUGGCAUUCUGCCGAUGGACCAGUGUUUGUGACUGUGUUGUCUGCCUGUAGUCAUGCCGGAUUGACCAACAAGGGCCUGGGUUAUUUUGCUGCAAUGCAGAGGGAUUAUGGUGUCAAGCCUAGUAUAGAGCAUUACGCUUGUGUCGUGGAUCUUUUAGGUCGGGCAGGUCGACUCGAGGAUGCUCGUAAACUUAUUGACUCAAUGCCUGUGGAACCCGAUGGAGCUGUAUGGGGUGCCCUUCUUGGCGCUUGCAAGAUUCAUAAGAAUGUCGACUUAGCAGAAUUAGCUUUCCAUGAAGUUGUCAAACUUGAACCAACGAACAUUGGUUAUUAUGUGCUACUGUCUAACAUGUACACUGAGGCUGAGAAUCUUUCUGGUGUCUUGAGAAUCCGAUUGAUGAUGAGAGAACGGAAGCUUAAAAAAGAUCCGGGCUGUAGCUAUAUUGAGUUCAAAGGGAAGAUUCACCUCUUUGUGGCUGGGGAUAGAAGUCAUUCUCAGUCAGAUGAAAUACAUUCAAUGUUGAGCAAGUUACAAGAUCUUAUUAAGGAACUUGAUGUGACAAAAAAUAUAAUGAUGAGAAAUCGGAUAGGGAACUUUCAAGUGGUGUGGGAGUGCACAGUGAAAGGUUGGCAAUUGCAUUUGCAUUACUGAAUACUGAAAUCGGGGUUGACAUUCUUGUGAUAAAAAACUUGAGGAUGUGUGGUGACUGUCACUUGUUCAUUAAGAUGGUAAGCAAAUUGUGGACCGUCAGUUUGUGGUAAGGGAUGCUACUCGUUUCCAUCAUUUUAGAGGUGGAGCUUGUUCCUGUAAUGACUACUGGUAAGACCAGAAAUCGGAGUAAGAUGGCUUAUCAGAGGAGGACAUGAUUUCAUCACACCUAAAGGAAAAAGAGAAUUUUGCCUUGAGGUCAAAGAGAUUGAGCCUUAAGGUAAAAAAGAAUGAGCCCUCGGAUUGGCCUUGCUACUUUGAAGCACAAUGUGGCUGCAGAAGUUAUUUUCUGAAGAACUACGUUGAUGAAUUAGUUUAAGGAACAAGUUAUUUUGUGACUGCGAUUUUACGUGUUUUUGGAGCAUCCACCAAUGGCUGAUGUGGCAGUUGUUGAAGGUUUAUCAGGAGAUUUGGAUAAAUGCACAAUCGAAUAUGAUGCUUCUGCAUAGGGUGAUUGAUUGCAAAAAGUUUUAUUGGUAUGCCAUGUUGUAUCUGUGAUUCAUUAAAGGUACAUCAGGUUUCAAUGGUUGUACAUUGCAUAGUGCAGGAUUUUAUGUCAACCACAACAGAAGAACCACCUUUCUGGAGUUGAGAACAGGUUAACCACAGAAUGGAUACAAACAAGCUUGUUAGGUUUACGGUGUUGUUUUGCAACUUAAACUGAUGUGGAAAAUGAGGUUCUUUUACAGGGAAAUUCCAAAUAAAGAUGUUUACACCAUCAUGGUGAAGGCAAAAGAACUCAGAAUUUCUGAACCAUAAUAGAUUCCAUGAACAAUACAAUCACAAUAGACACAGAAAGAAGCUAAAGCAUUGCUAACCUUAAUUGCCUACAAGUCAAGAUUAUCUCCGUGGUUAGGAAAGAAUAUAGAUUGAUGGCUUUAAGCAUCACUGUUCCCAUCUUUUGAUGAAACUGGAAGUCCCUGGUAAAGGCGGGACUGGACUAAGUGUUGAUCCUUUCUAUCCAAAAAUUAAAUUGCUGUCACACAAUGUGGUGCAUAACAUCCACUCUGUCAAAUUACCACCAAAAUGAUAUCUCGCAUCAUCAAAAUGAGAAUCUCAACUUAGCCACUAAUAAUCACAACUGCUGCUGUUCCUGAAACGCAUUCAUCGUGAACGAAGGGAAUUGUCUUCCAUACUGUCAGUUUCGUAGGAGUAAUCUGUAUGCCUAAAAGGUGAAUUACACUUAAAUGGAUCAAUUCACUUUGCAUUUAUAACGAAUCAAAACUGUAGGAAGACAUUCGCACCUUGAAUGGAAGAAUCCUUUUUGGUACAAAUGGCAGCAUAAUGAGAACCAGCCAAAUCCAUAAGUACAAACUUCCAAUCACUUGUAAGGUCCAUGGAGUCAUCAAAAGAAUCCACCACUAUUUCAGAAGCCUAGAAGCAAAAUGUAAUUAGUGAAUGAAGCAAUACAUCUGACAAUGAGAGGACAUAUACAGUAAUUAGCUCAACAUAAUUCGUAACAAAUAAGUCCUAAAUCCUAGCUACAACCAGAGGCAUAGGAAAGUAGUUUUUAGUUGAGGUAUCAAGGAAUGGAGAACCUGAGGUACUCACAAUUAAGUUGCAGAUGUGUAUGAUAAAAGAUAAAAAUCAGGGAAUCACAUCUAGUUGAGCAUCUUCAGCUUUUCACCAGCCUCCCCUCAAAAUUCAUCCUUCUGUUAUUUAUUUUUUUUUCAGAAAAUGGAGCACAAACUGUCUAUUUUUUGUUUCUUAGAUUCAGAAGUAAACUUGAACCUCAAUAUUUCCUUCUUACCAAGUCAAAUGGUGGUGAUUAGCUUAAGUACCAUGCAAAAUAUUUACAGUGGUUCAAUCAACAGAAGGGAAGUGGUUUAAUGACUGGUUGAUGGAGUUGUGCAUGCCAUUGGCAUCAGAUGAGGGAGUUCCACAAUUUUUUUUAUUUAAUAUCAAUAAUGUCGUCAUGCAUGUGCAUAUUUCAGCUCAGCUCCUGUGGAAAUUAGAACGAGAGAAAAGUAAUGAUUUAACUCAUGGUACUAAAAAUGUGUGUUCCAGCCAUAGUUUGAUCUCUGUUCUCAAAGGCAAGACUUAUUAUCAGGCCAUGGUUACACAGACAGCAACUGGUUGGAUAACUUUAAUUGCAAAAUGUCACCAUCUGAAAAAGCAGUCUAAGGCUCUGGCUCUCCAUAAAAAAGUCCAAACGAUUUCAAUAUUUCUGGCAUACCUCAAAAUUGGAAUUUCCUGCAAAGCUUCCUUUAUUAGCAGACCUAAUUCGAAUUGUGAAAGUCUUGAAUGGUGCAUCUGAAAAGCCUCGUCCCAAUGCUUUGACAUAUGCUUCCUGGAAAAUAUUUGACCUUCAGAAAUAAGUAGGCACAAGCUUAUUUGAAUUUAUUUAAGCAACUGGGAAAAAAAGUACUUAUGUGCCCCAUAAAUCUCCAACUUCAAUCAAGUAGCAGCAGGUGGGAUAUGAAUCAUUAAUAUUCAAAAGUUCAAAACUAUCUGACCUUGAGAGUCCACAAUUUUAUAAACUCCUGCUGCUGAAGUUGGGGUCUGAAAAUAGCGGACAACACUUGAACUUCAUGUUUUGAAAAAUAUCGUGAGCAAAGGACAUGACAUUAUGCUUCAGUCUUCGAUUCUUCUUUUCCACAUCAAUACCAAUCUGAAGUGGCAAGUGAAUUCAAAUGAACUUAAACCAAAAACAACAGCAAAAGGAUGCAAAAUUUUAAAAACUCAGACAAGCACAAUCUAUUAAUUGAGACCGAGAAUCCUAACAGGAGAGUCGACUGUGACUCCGCAGGCUAUCAAAGACGAAGUGUGUGAGAUGUUGAAAUGCAGUGGCAGUGGACGCCAUUGUUCGCAGUGUUGCCAAUCCACCUAACAACAUAACAUUUUCCAGAAAGCUUUUAAUGGCAAUUCGACUUUAACAACAACACAUACACUGAAACUAGCACAGUGUACACUCACACAGAGAAGGAAUCAUAACAAACCUCUGGUUUCCCAUGUACGUUCUUAAUAAACUUCAACGAUCGUGGACUAACAUGAGAAUUUAUCUGAUCUAGUACAAAAACCAAAUCAUUCAAGCUAUAACAUAAAAUCUUUGCCACCUAAAUAUAAAACUAACAGAUAAAAAAAGAUGAAAAGAAAGAAUGUCCAGCUAAACAACAGAAAAAAAAAAUGAUCAAAGCUACGUACAUCUGGCAAUGGUAGUCCGAACCAAAGCACGAGCCAGCAGAGCUCUUUUUCUGAGCUCCUCGUCGCGCAUUUCGAAAACUAUUUCUUUCUCGCAUGGGGAUAGAAUUUCGCGUACUGAUUUAAUAAUGAUUGGGAUUGCACUUCGCUGGGUAUUAUAUACCAUAGAUGAGCCUCCCUGAACAACAAUCAUUUUAACAGGAUCAAAAAUUUUCAAGAUUCUAUCCAAUCUCGUACGACAUUAAUUUUGAAACAACAUCGAAAAAAAAUUAAUAAAAAGAGAGUUGAUGGAUCGUGCAUUGGAGAUGGGAGUUGAAUUCGAGGCAAAUUCGCAGAAGAAUUGAACAAUUGUUUGCCCAAGCACUGAAAUUUCAUUCUGGAGGUCGAUUUACGACGUAGAGAUGAUGCGAGGAAGUAUUUAAGUGAGAACUAUUGAGCAAUUCAUGAACAGUUCCCAAUUCGAACCCUAAUUAGAUCACACAGUAAGCAGAUGUAGCAGAAAAGGUUUUAUGCUUGGACGUCGUCGUUUCCUAGGCAGUAAUUCACCAUAGGAACGCGCUUGUCGUCGGGAAACCAAGAACGUUCCGGCCUUGCGAUCUUCUCCCAGGAUGGGCCUCAUGACAUUGGGCCAAUGAGAGCUGUUUCUGAGAUCAACUUAGGACUGCUGUUUUUGGGCUUUUUCUAGGUUGGCGGUAGAGAUUUUCGAUAUUUCUGAGAGUUGUAGCCCUGCAAUGGAAAUGGCCUUGGGCCUCUUUUUAUGGACCGGAAAAAUGAAACGAAGAUAUGUUACCGCUACUAUUGUCUAAAAGAUUGCUUCGUUUGCACGAAAUUUGUCAGGACAAAAAGGAAACAAAAAAAAAAUUGUUACUCAGAGAAGAAAUCUACAAAUUACUCCAUUAUCUUUUGAUAACCAAAAAGCAAACGUCAAAACACAAGCCCUGAAUAACGUCUCCCCUGUUGAGAAACAUCAAGUUUGCCAGAAUAUCCCAUUUUUAUACAUGAAUUUUAUCAGCAAAUAGAAUACAAGAGAUGAGGAGGGAGAAGAUGCAAACUCAAAGUUGAUCACUCACUAUACUUGCACUGGAAACAAUAAUGGAGAAAAUAAGUUACAUAACCAGCUGAUUUUCUCAAAGCCUGAACCUAAUGGGAGUACACAGAUUCAUUACAUGAACUGGAAAAGUUCGUUAGCGAU
This 65736-nucleotide long non-coding RNA is filed under the name Coffea arabica (coffee). RNAcentral's name for it is "long non-coding RNA (CARA_LNC003955)". The record is from RNAcentral. Lineage: Eukaryota; Viridiplantae; Streptophyta; Magnoliopsida; Gentianales; Rubiaceae.